AAAGAAACGUUUCUACACUUACGAAGGCGAUAUCCUUCGUUACAUGUCUGUUAUGGAUCUUUCUUGUAACAGAUUCACUGGAGAAAUCCCGACAAAAUGGGGAAACUUAAGUGGGAUAUAUUCUCUAAAUCUGUCACAAAAUAAUCUCACUGGAUUGAUCCCUUCAUCUUCUCAAUCUGAAGCAGAUAGAGAGCUUGGAUCUUUCUCACAACAAAACUUGAAUGGGAGAAUUCCUGCACAACUCGUUGAACUGACCUUUCUAGAAGUUUUCAACGUGUCGUACAAUAAUUUGUCAGGAAGAACACCGGAGAUGAAAAAUCAAUUUGUACCUUUGAUGAGAGCAGUUAUAAAGGGAAUCCUCUUCUUUGUGGACCUCCAUUGCAAAACAGUUGCGACAAAACAGAAUCACCAUCAGCGAGAGUGCCUAACGAUUUCAAUGGAGAUGAUGGCUUCAUAGACAUGGACAGUUUCUAUGCCAGCUUUGGUGUGUUUACAUAACUGUGGUGUUGACAAUUGCAGCAGUACUGUGCAUAAAUCCGCAUUGGCGACGCAGGUGGUUUUACUUCAUUGAAGAAUGCAUUGACACUUGCUACUGCUUUUGGCUAUAAACUUUCGCAAGUUGUCCAGAUUCAGAAGGUGAUUGGUCUUAUCAUGAGCGUGUGGGCUGCUUUCUGAAUUUUUUGUAAUCCUCUGUGGAGAAGAAGUUGCAUUCCAAAUCAAUGGUUGCUCACUACAUGUUUAGCAAUUUUCCUGUGAGAAGUGUUCUGUCGAAGUGUUUGGUUCUUGUUGCUUAGCCUUUAUGUUUUGACAUGACUUGUGUUUGUCCUUGUGCUUGUAUCCAUAUUUGUUUGUUUCGUUGUUAUGUCUUUAUUAUGUUGCGUUUUGGUCUUAGAUAAGCAACCAACCAAUAUUUCUUGGUUUCUUGUGAUUUCUAUAUCCCUAAUAAUAUGGAAUUUAUUCACAAUUGUAAUAGUUUACAGUAUCAUAUUUUCUCAAUUAAAAAAAUAAUUGAUAGAACUAAAGGAUCAUACCAGCAAGGUGGAAUGUGGUAAAGCAAUAAUUUUGUUUGCUGAAAGAACAUAAGUCUAAACUUAAAACAAGGAAAUAUUUAUUGAAUAAUCAGUAUUUAUCUAUUUUGGCAAUUUUCUCAGCCCUAGCUAUUUAAGCCUUACUUGUGGGCUAUUUUGAACAUCAAGAGUUUAUUUCAGAUUUUUCUCUCCUGUUGGGUCUCUUUCAAGCCCGUUUUGCACUUAAUUUUGAAUUCUUUUAAUUAAAUCGGUUUUAAACUCUUAUAUCAACAAUUGGAGGAUUGUUUUAAGAUUAGAUUAUUUAAUUGUAAUUUUUCUGAAAAAUACAAGAGUUUUUUUUCUUUAUUCGUCUAUAAUGUCAAGGCUAUAAGAGAACCCUAAUUCAUUCAUGCCUCAUGAAAUUCAAUUUGGCCAGUGGUGGUAUAAGGAAACAAAAAGGUUGUUAGAAAAAUUAAGAAUUUUGAAUGUUUCAUUUUAAAAUGGUGACUACUUUUUAAUUUCAGAAUUCCAGAUUGUUAAAUCUUCUAUUACUUGUUUGCCUCUUAUGAUUUCUACUGUUGUGAUAGUCAAGCUUGAUGAUAUAAAUUACCUAUUCCAGUCUUAUACUUGGCUCCUCCAAGCAUGCAAUUGAAGGAGAAUAUAAAGAUAUCAAAGGCUCUAGUCCUGCCACAUAUCAAAAGAUUAGAGAAUAAAAUAGUUAGAAUGUUGUUAGUAACUGUUAGCCUUAUUUGUUAGUUAAGAGAAUCAGUUAGUAUUAUUUAGUGAAGAAUAGAUAACGUGAAAGGAAAACAGACAAGAAAAACAAAAAGGAACAGCAAAGAAAAGAAAAGGAAAAACAGCAAACGAAAAAAACAAAGAAGGAGAGAAGAAAAGUAGUCUUUCUCUCUCUAUUUAUCUUUCUAUUAGUUGCAUCACCAUCGCCAUUCUUCCUCCUCACCGCCACCAACAUCACCAUAAGCCAUCGUAGGUCCGCUUCCCCCUCUCUUUCUUCUUCUUCUCCCCCACCCCGAUCUUCAUUGUUCUACUAAUGAAUAGUGAAGGGUGAAUUAUAAUUCACGCUCCACGUGGAGAGCCAUUAUUUCUAGGUCGGACCAAUACCUGCCUAGACCAAAACAUUAGGGUCGGGUCCAACUUAAUUCCCCUUAGUAUAGAGUACAUUGGGCUGAAAUUGGCCCCACUCCUAAUUCGGGCCGAUAUUGGCCCAACUCUACUAGGCUAAUCUCAGCCCAAUCGCUUUUUAGGUCAACUUUGUGCUAAUUCCUUUUAAAUCAAACUCGGCCUAACUAGGGUGGGCUCAGCCCACAUAACUGGGCUAAGCCCAUCCUAAUAUAUUUUAAUAUAUAAUUAUAAUUAUAAUUAUAUAUAAAAAACAACAAAAAAAAUCCAAAAAUCCUUUUAAAAAAAUUUGUGAUUUUCUCAUGUAUUUUUCUACCAUUUUGUAUUAAUAUAGGUUUAUAUUUUUAUACUAUAAAGAUACAAAUCCAAUAUUAAAAUAUCUAGUUUUCUCUGAAAUAUUGCAAAAAUAUAUAUAUAGAGAAAAAAAAAUAUCUUGUUUUCAUGCAUACAGUUAAGUCUCUUAAGCUUAUAAGAAAUUUUCAUAUCAUAUUUUCAUACAACAAAAAAUUCAAAAAAUAUGUAUUAACAUGCACUUUGAAUUUUAAAAAUCAGUUUAUUAAAGUCAUGAGAACUAGACCAAUAUUUUAAAAAUACCAAAAAACAUUAUUUUGUUUUCUUUUAAUAUUUGAGAUUUUAAACAUAUACGUAAGACAUAUUCUUAAAAUUAAAUAAAAAGUAGUUUUUUUUUUUUUUUUACGUUAGAAUAGUUAGGUUUUAUCUGAUAAGAUAAUGAUCUCCUUAUUGAAAAGGAUUUUUCUUAAACCUUUGACAGACCAACAAUUAGAAAGCACAACAACACCUUAGUAUACAUUAAACAAUAAGCAAUGCAGCUUACCUUAGAUAGAGUGUAUUAGGGGUGAUAAUAUCUUUAUUUUAAGCAACCAGUCCUCGUGUUCGAUCUCUGAAACCAGUUAUUGUUAAUAGUGACAAAAAUACCAAAUGGUGAUUUUCAUUCCCUCUCUCCACUAAUAAAAGAUAAAAAAUCAUUUUCUACCCCAUUUCCCGAUACCACCCAAGAGCACAAUCACGGGCGACACUUUGGAUAGGUUGAUUAACUUGUUGCUUAUUUAUCACGCUAUGUCAUGUAGCUUUUAGUUAUUAUUUUGAAUUCUAAAAUAUAAAGACAGACUUUUUGUAGACAUGGUUUUAGAGUUGAAUUUUCCAGCGUUGACUUUUUAUUUUACGUCUCUCUCUCUCUCUCUCUCUCUCUCUCUCUCUCAUACUUGUCACUUAUGUCCUAAAUUGUUAACCAAACACAAUCUACUAUCAAAUUUAAUAGUUUUACUGAUUAAUUUUUUUUUCAGUAUUUACACUUAUAAUUUGUCGGUGUGUAUAUUACCAAUGGGCUAAUGGAUGGAAACAAUCUGUCAGAAAAAAUCUCAUUUGUAAUUUAUUGUUUGUCAAUAAUAAAUAUAUUGAUGAAUUUACAGACGACAAAAACACGUAAAAAAAAUUAUUCACUACAUUCUGUUGAUAUCUUUAUCGGUAAAUUUAACAUAUCAUCGACAGGAAAAUCGUAUGUAAUGUCAUCAGUGUUUAUAUUUAUCCAUCGAUAAAUAUAACAUAUCACCAACAGAAUACCAUCUGUAAUUCUAUCAGUGAGUUAACCGUCGAAGUGAUAUUUGCAGUAAUUAUUUUCCAACUCUCUCUAAAUAUACAGACGGAGUUGUUCCUUCAGUAACCCCGUCAGUGGUAUUUAAUAUAUAUAUAUAUAUAUAUAUAACUAGAAAAAUAUUUAAAAUAAUAUAAAAAUCAAAUAUGUAUUACAAAUUUAAAUAUUUGUACGUUCAAAUACAAUAAAUCUAAAAUAGAGGCAGUAUUGGAGGAGAAGGAGGCUAGUUGUUGUCGGGAUCGUGAGGCAAAUUAGAAGGUGUGCAUGUACCACCUAUCUGUGAUAUCAUCUUCAUUACCAAUAAAAGAAGUUCUUUAUAAUUAGCAAUGAGUCAUUCAUAUUUUUUUAUUAAGAUGAGUUAUUUGAGCAUAUAUUCGUUGGUAUAACAUCACAACGAGCUUGAGAGUUUGAGUGGUCAGAAUUGAAUGUGAGCAUCCAACGAUCAAAACAUUAUGGGUCGUCUACAAGUUAUUAGUCGUAAUGUUAAAAAGUUCAUACACCUAAUUUAUAUCGGAUCCACCAAACAAUCCUGCUUAUAACCACAAAUCCAGAUCAAGAUUUGGAUGGGUCGAAGGAUCAUCCUUGUAUCUCUUCUUCAACUAACUGUUAUACGUAUUCUGGAAAGAAAAAAAAAAUUCAUCAAAUUCAAGGAAAUAUUAAAAAUAAGUUUGAGUUAAACCAAUAUUUUGUUGUUUAUUUAGUUUACAUAAUUAAUUAAUACAUGUUGUCAUCAAUAUUCUAUAUAGGUUUGACAUAAGUAAUGGAUGAUUAUUUAUGGAUGUAUCAAGAUUCACCGAAACGGUUGCGUAGGAUGGAUUGUUGUAAUAAAGUUCAGGGUUUUAUUAAUUAUGCACUAUUUAAUUCGAGAAAUAUUAAUGAAAGCAAUAUUAGAUGUCCAUGUAUGAGAUGUAAAAAUGAAAAGUUUCUUGAUUCAGAUAUUGUAACGAUGCAUCUUCUACAAAAAAGGUUCGUGAAGAGAUAUUUGUGUUGGUUUGCAUACAAAGAACCAUAUGUUCCUCAUGAGACCAUUAUAGAAAGAAUGAUUGGGUCAACUUAUAGUUCUAGCAACGUGCAUGAAAUUAUAUAUAACAAUAGUAAUCCUUAUAGGACUUUGGUUAAAGAUACGAUGAAAAUAAAUCAGGGUUAUGCUAGUAAAUGUUCAAUCAUAAAUGAAGAACAUAACACAAACACGACCAGUUUUUUUUUUUUUUAUCUUUUGAAAGACUUUGACGAUACUUUGGGAUUUAAAGAAAUUGACAAACUCAUCAGCCUAGGAUACCAUAAAAUUGACAUGUGUCCAAACUUUUACAUAUUGUAUUACCUUGAAAAUGUAGAGUUGAUCAAGUGCAAAACAUGUGGGCAUGCUCAUUAUAAAUCUAGAACUGGUAGGGAAGGACUUUUAUCGCACAUAGAAAACUUAGAUACUUCUUAAUCACACCUAGACUACAAGGGUUAUUCAUGUCACCAAAAAUUAUUGAGCACAUGACAUGGUAUCAUUCACAUGAUGCAGUGGAUGAAGUAAUAGUGCAUCAUUCUGAUGGUGAAGCCUGAAAACAUUUUAAUAUGGUGCAUCUUUAGUUUUCAAUGGAAUAAAUGAACGUGCUUCUUGGGUUAUGUACAAAUGGAUUCAAUCCAUUCAAAUCAUUUGCUACUUCUUCUUUUUUUAAUCAAAUGUAAGAAUAUAUUGAGAUCAAAGGAACAAAGCCACAAAAAUAGGAAAACACAAAAUAUAUAUACAGUGAUGAGGGUAACCAAUACCCUGAACUAAAAUGGGAACAUGCUCCCAUUGAAAAGAACAUAAAAUAAACAACUCCAAGGCUAGAAGUAGCCACACAGAAGACAAAAAAAAAGAGUGGUAAAAUUGAGCAUAACCAGCCAAUCCGAUGUACUGCCAGCCAAGCCAACUUACUGCCACCCAAGCCAAGACAAGCUGCCGAAAGCCAAUAGAACAUCCAGCUGCUCCUUUUCCAUGCAGGACCAAGGCGGCAACAUAUACCCCACAACCAAAACAGCAUCACAGCAGCCCUUAUUCCAUCCAUGAGCCUUAUCAUGCAGGGACGUGAAAAGCCAUGGCCAAUAGCAGCCUCCUAGAAAAACAGCCAAGACAACUUUAAAAAUCCAUACAUUAAAUAAUCAAUGCAGGUCGAGGAUCCAAGCAAUCAUUUGCUACUUCUUAUUUUUAUUGGUUGGUGAUACUCCUGGUUUACAAUUUUCCAUUGGGGAUGUGUAUGAGGUCGGAGUUCAUAUUUUUAUCUAUAUCAUAUUUGAUCCUAAUAAUCUGUGUCGGAAUAUAGAUGUUUGUCUUCGUCCACUUAUUAAUGAGUUGAACUAGUUGUGGUCGUUCAGGGCUUUGAUAUAUAAUGUAUUGAGAAAACAAAAUUUUUAGACAAAGGCACUUUCUUGUGGAGAAUCAAUGAUUUUUCUAUGUAUGGAAUGGUUUCUGGUUAAAACACAUGAAAAACUACAUGUCCAUAUUGUAUGGAAAAUAAUAAGGACCUUCAUGUUAACAAAUAGUGGUGAUUUUGAUGUUUUUAAGCUAAGAAAAAAUGUCUAAAAAUUGUUUAGGUUACUGAAGAAAUUGAUCAAACUUUCUUUAUGGGCUGACAAAAAAUAAUUCUUUAUAGGUCAAAGAUUUAUUUUAUAAUAAACUCAAUUCCAAAUCUAUAAUAGGUUAGCGAGUUUGGAGCCUAUGCCCAAGUAAAGUUAAGCACGCGUGUGGGAUAGAGGAUUUUGGGUUUCGUAAAAACAUUUAAACUAAGAGGUUUUUUAAAUUAAUUUUUUAUUUAUUCACAAUUUAAUUACUUUAAUCAUAUUAAUGUUUCAUGUUAAUAAACAUUUAAUAAUUUCCAACAAAGUUUUUACUCCAAAAGUGAAUGAAUUUCAUUUUAAAUUUAGCCCCAAAUGUAUCAAUUGAACAUGUUUUAUUAAAACAAUUCCUACACUAUCAUCCUUAAACUACUAGUUAUGAUGAAAACAUUGGAUUAUCAUUACAUAGCCGUGUGCUUACCACUACUAAAACAUGUGCUGAUUAUGAUUAUAUCUCAACACAAUACUUUUAUCAUAAAAAAAAAAAAACAGAGAAGAAUAUUGUGUCAUUUCUGUUGUAACCCAUUUUUGGGUCCCCAUGAAAAAUAAAAUAAAUAGCCAAAAGAGUUUAGAAAAAAUAGCAGGAGGCAGAAACGCUCAGAAAACAGUCAGAAAAUUGGUCAAGGAAUUUAAAAAUACAAGGAUUGAAUUUUUAACAAUAUAUUCUUGAAGGAUGAAAGCCCUAUUGAGAAGGAAAAUUUGAAUUUUGAGGAGAAAAGCCCAAAUUUGGAUGUUUAUGGAUUUAAUUGGAUUUUGUUUUUGAAUUUAUAGAAGAUUUGAUUACAAGAAAAAUUGAUUUUUAAGUCAAUUUGGGCUUUAAUUAGAAGAAAUUUAAGUUCUGGGGCCAAAAUAUAUUUUUUAGGAAUUUAUUGGGUCAAAUCAGGGGCUUAAUUGCAUAAAUAUUGAAGUUUAAUGGCCAAUUAGGGGCUUAAUUGUGAAAAUCCGAAACCAGGGACCAAUUUGGAGAAGGCGCAAAGAUAGAGGGGGCUGUUUGGAUUUGAUUCAGGGGCUUAAUUGAAGAAAUUGGAAGUUUAUUGGUCAAUUAGGGGUUUAAUUGUAAAAUUAGAGGCCAAGGACAAAGUGGAAAAACGCGGCCAACUAUGGGGUAGGGACCGAAUUGGCAGGGACGAAUUGAGUUAAACAAAGAUGAUUAAGGACUGAUUCAAAAAAUGUUCUGGCGCCUUUUCUUUUAAAAUGAAACGGCGCGUUUUAUCCAAAACGACGCCGUUUCAUGCAUAAUAAAAAAAAAAAAAAAAAGAGACCGAACGGUGCCGUUUUGAACGGCACUGUUCACUUUCUUCUUCCCCCGAACAUUACAGCGGGGAAGAAGGAAAAGUUUGUAUUUUUUUUUAUGUUUUGCAGGUCCCUCUUGCCACCAACCGACCGAGGCCCCACGCCGGUGGCCCACCGACAGAAGACGCUGGCCGACCACCCGCCGCGCUGCCGAAGCCGAGGGAGGCCCGCCUGGAUAGCCGCUCCCCGACAGCCGCUCCUCGACCCGCUCCUUGGCUCCACGGUGAAGCCACGCCUGUUAGUUCUAUAAAUAGAGAACCGAAGGAACCCGAGAGGACGACGAAAAAAAAAACAGAAGAGGAACCCGAAGAGAACAAGAAAAAACGAAGAGAGAGAGAAGGAGAGAGAAACCACAGAACUUAAGAAACAGCCACCGAAAACCUAAAACUGAGAAGCUUGGGAAAAUUUGAAGCCGAUAGGAAUCUCAGGAAACCGAAGCAGAAGCAACAAACCGGGUGAGCGACGACGAACCGUGGGAAAAAGCUGUAGCGCCGCCUGACUCGCCGUCCGUAAGCCACGACGCUGCCACCGCCUCCACCGCAGCACCGCCAGCAAGCCACCGUCUCCACCGCACCAGGUACGCUUCCUUUCCCCCCUUGCAUUUUUUUUUUAAAAAACCUGCAUCAGUUUUGCCUCCUGCAUGCAGAAUCAUGCUGCAUGCAGGAGGCGGGGGGGAAAAUAAUCCCCCCCCGUUUUGUUUUAUUUUUUAGUUCUCUGGGCCAGAUGGUGUCUGGCCCAGAACUAUGUGGGACGGGCCAGAGGGACCUGGCCCGAUCCGGCGGUCUGGGCCGGACAAGGUUAUUUAGUUUUUGGGCUGAGAUCGGCCCAGUACCGGUUGGGCUGAGAUCGGCCCAGUACCUGUUGGGCCAAGUUCGGCCCAACGCCUUUUAGGGUUGGGUCCGGCCCAGUUUAGUUGGGUCGGCCCAGCCCACUUAAUAUAUAUUUAUUAUAUUAUUAUAUUUUAUUAUUAUAUUAUAUUAUGCAUGUAUAUAUAUAAAAAAAAAAAAUCCGAAAAGUUUUUUUUUAAAAUAUAUUGUUGUUUCCUUUUCAUAUAUAUAUUUUUUAUAUACAUUGGUUUGUAUUUUUAUAUUGUGGAGACACAAACUCAGUGUUUAAAAUACCCGGUUUUCGUCAAAACAUCCAGAGUUUCAAAGAUAAAAAUGUCCGUUUGCUUUCAAAAAUUCUAAAAAAUAUCCUUAAGAAUAUUGUGGAUUUUCCUGCACAUUUUUUUUAUGAUUUUUAUAUUGGUUUGUAUUUUUAUACCGUGGAGAUACAAAUUCAGUUUUUUUAAAUACCCGUUUUCGUCGAAAAAAAUAUAUUUACAAAAAAAAAUGUUUUCUUGCGUGUUGCAUACGGCCAAUACUCUAACAUGUUUUGAUUUCUUUUUUUUUAAAAAAAAAAAUAUUUUGGAAGCUUCGAAAGUGUGUUUUCGCAUAGAUUUCUUAAACACAAAUUAUUUUCUUGCAUUUUUGGAUUUUACAACAUGUUUGUAAAACUCCAAAGGGUAUUGGCCAAUAUUCCAAAAAAACUAUAAAAAUCUUUUUGGGGGAAGAAAAUUUAUUUAUUAUUCACCGCUAAUGUUUGGAUAAAGAAAUCCUUAAAAGGAUGAAUAUCCAAAAUAUUAUUGGGAGUAAUAAAUCCGUACACAUUCUUGAAAGAAGCCUUGAUUAUAAUCGAGGACAUUUCAAAAUUUUAAUUUUUUUUUCCCACGAUUUAUGAGUCCCAAACUCUUGAAAUACUAAAGGGAAAAAUGAGCUUUCAAAGCACAUGGAAUCUCCUUAGAUUUCUAUCCAAAAUCAAUUGACGAGCCUAGAAAAUACCAACACCAUAGCAAUUAUAGAGCAAACGAAACACCAAGCAGCUUACCUUAGGUAGGGCGUACUAGGGGUGCUAAUACCUUCCCUUUACGCAACCAGUCCCUUGCCUUAGAAUCUCUGAAAGACCAGUUAGGGUUCCUAGUGACCAAAAUACUAGGUGGCGACUCCAAAGAACCAAAUCCGCUAAACAGAACAAAAUGAAAGUCGCCAGUCGAAUGUCGCAAAAAACAAAUUUUUUUUUUAUUUUUAGGAUUUUUUGGGGUGCGACAAUUUCUAUCAUCCAACUUGUGAAUAUGAUGAUAGCGUAUAGUAAAAUACUUCUAUUGGCCUGGAAGUUUCCCGGAUCUCUCUGGCAGAUGAACGUGGAUGAGGUUUUUUUUUUUUUUUUUUUUUGUGAUGCAAAUCAUGAGAUCAACAGCUUCUUCUUUUUUGUUUUUUUUUUUUUUCUAGCCAUCUGAAAAACUGUAGUAAUUUUGUUAAAUAUGAGGUGUGAUAGAAAAUUUAACAAGCCCUAACUUUCAGGGAGAGAAAUCUGCUCAUCAGUUUAGCUCACAGACUCGUAACUGGUGAUGACUUGACCGGCUAAGCAAGGUUUUUUUUAAUAAAAAAAAACAUAAUAAAAUUUAUAUUUCAUUUACAAUAAGACUCCUUCAACCGCAAAAGCACAUAUGAAAAUAUGAAUUUUAAUAAAAUAGCAGCGUUUGUUGCUGCGUUUGCACCUGUGUUUUGCUCAAAUUUGAUUUAUUUUUUUUUGUAAAAUUGAGUUUGAUUUGUAUUUUUUGGAUCGUUUUGAUGUGCUAAUAUCAAAAAUGAUUUUUAAAAAAUAAAAAAAUAUUAUUGGCAUGUAUUUCAGCACAAAAAACUAUUUAAAAAACAACUGCUACUACACUAUCAAACACGCUCAGUCUUAUGUCUAGAUUUGUCUGUAGAUUUUGCGAAAAACAGAGGAAAACAGGGCAUUUCUAGUUCUGAUCAUGACUUUUAUCUAACAAAACCAUGAUUGAAUUGUUAGAUAGAGCGCAGAUUAACAUAGAUCGAGGCAAACCAAUGGAUUCAACAGCCCGAUGACGAGUGCCAUGCAUGAUCAAUUAAGACCACAGUUGCAUCAUCAUGGCACCUACCUGCUGGAGAUUUAGCCAACAAACAGGGGUUAGUGGGCAUGGGAGUAGAUGGACGUUGACAAGGACAUAAAUACUCUGUCAAAUAUGCGAGCUUCCACGUUGAGGUGGUUGGGGUCUUUCUUGAGACAUGAUUGCUGGGGUCGAGAACUGUAGAACAAUUUCCCUUUAUAAAAUAUAGUUAUCAGAACUGGCUCGAGUUCUGAUCAUAAUAAAAAGCUAAGAUGAACUGAGUCAAUUCUAAAAUUACAUUAAAAAAAAUCUCAAGAAGUUCAUAGAUACUGGGAUUAGAAAAUCUUUCAUGAUUUUCCCAAUUUAGGGUUCUCUAAUACUGGGUUUAAUUAUGAAUUAGUGUAUUGAUGAGCAUUUAUUUAUUUUUGGUUCUAUAUGGUUUAUUCUCUUUUUGAUUGAAUUUUUUAACAAUCAUUUAUAUAUAGAUUGCUUUGUUCACCAAAAAAAAAUAAAAAAUAUAUUAACUUUUUUAGUUUUGAUUUUUUCCGGUUUUAAUCAAAUAAAAAAUUAUUUUUACCAUCUUUAAUUUAAAAACCGUUUGUUUAAUUUCAAAUAAAAAAUAAUCAAAAUAAUGCUUUUAAUUUUAAAUCAUAGUUUAAAUAUAAUAUUGACUGCAUAGACAAACAUAAUCUUACACUAACAAAUAAUUAUAUAAAAAACAUCGUGAUAUUUAUAACAUGAUUUUCAAUAAUUAUAUUGAAAUAUUAUUAGUAUUCUCACUUGCAUGUUUUAACUAUAAGGUAAUUUGGAUAAUAUUAACAAGAAUGGGGAUUUUAACUUAAUCUCAACCAUAUAUCGAUAUAUAUAAAUUAAUUGAUCUGAAAAUAUCAAAAGAUAGAUGGAAGCAAACAGACGUAACACUUUUCCCCCGCAUGCAUGAUUGAGACGAUAGGGCGAAAUAAACGGAAUCAGCCUGGGAAAAAUACAAGGAUGAAAAUGAAAACAAAGUAAAAGAAAAGGGGUUACAAAUAAAGUAAGGAAACGUUUUAGCAGGGUCUAAUUGAAAGAACAAUUUUCCAAAAAGUGAAUCACCUUUGGGAAAAAAAAGAGGUUUUCGGCUGUGAUUGAGGAUUCAUAGGAUUUUUCCACCCUGUAGGGCCCAGUGGGAUUUUUUACUAAAUCCUUUUGACUAAUGAAAUUGAGUAAUUUUCCACUAAGAGACAAAAAUGCUUGUAUCGAUUUGAAAUUUUGCGUCGGAGGGAAAGCACAGAAGGGAACAAGAUUUGAAUUUUGAUCCAUAAGAAGAAAACAAAUUUCUUCAUUUCAAUGGCUGCCAGCUUCGCAAUAGAGUGGCGGGAAAAUCUGAUCUAGCUUUCUUGACAAAUACUACAAGUCAAUCAGAGAAAUAUUUGAUUAUGAAAUGGGAUAAUAGAGAUUUGGUGCAUCUUAUGGUAACUGAGAUUUGAAUAUUAGGAAAAAGAGUAGAUAUCUAAAUAUUAGUUUGGGACUGGUAGUUGGAGUAUGAUAUCGAUCUUGCUGUAUUUUAAAUGUAUUUAAAUUCUCAUUAGGAAAAAAAAAAAAAAAGAGUUAAUAGUGACAGGGUAAAUUAAAGAUGUGUUAAAACAAGAAAAAUAUCCUGUUUCAAAUUGUAUUUUUUAACUACAAAUAUCAUUUUAAUUGUUAUUCAUUUAAAUUCUAGUUUGAAACACAACAUAUCAUAUAAAUAAACAAGUGAAGUCUUAAUCUAUAAACAACGUGUAUUAAUUGUUAUCAUAGAAAAUCUGUUAGAUACAAACUAUGAAUUAAAAUUUAAUAAUUAUAAUUUUUUUUUAAAAAAAAAUCAAUUUAUAAUGCUUUUAUAGGCUUAACUAACUCAUUUAAUUAUUUUAAUAAUAUGAUGUUGCUACUUAAGUUUACAUUAUCAAUCACUUUUGUUGAUAUUAUUAUCAUUAUUUCUAUUAAUAUCAUCAUUAUUAUUAAUUAUUAUCUCAACCAUCAUCAUUACAGAUAUUAUAUUUUUAUAUUAUUACUUUUUAAAUAACAUAAAAUUUGUUUUGUAAUAAUAUAUCUUAUGAAAAAAUAUUUUAUAAGUACAAUAUUUUAUGGCAAUCAAAUGCCUUCUCGCUUAUUAAGGAUUUGCUGACGUGGUUGAUAGUUUUUUUUUUCAAACUUAUUAUAUCAUUGAUAUAUAAUUUGAAAUAUCCGCAUCAUGACAUCAAUGAGCAGUUGCUUGGUGAUUAAGGGGAGCUAUAAAAUCAUGUCCAAAAUUGCUGGCAACCCACAUUAAAGUCAAGAAUUUGCUAAACGACGAGCUGGCCUUUAAAAUCUCUCCCUGUGUUUUCUUUAUUCAUUUAUUAGUGACAAAGAAACCAAAUUCUCCCUUACACGUUCAGUUUUUAUUUCAUAAUUUUAAGGGUUUUAGAAGUGUGAUGAUGAUUAUUUUUUAAAGUAUGUUUUAUUUAAAGAUAUAUUAAAAUAAUUUUAUUAUUAUUUAAAAAAUAUUUUUGUCACCAGCAUAUUAAAAUGAUAAAAAAAAUAUUUUUAUACAAAUAAAAUUAAUUCUUUAUGAAAUAUUAUUUAGAACUCAAUUUCAGUUUAAUUUGAUGAGUUGAUUUAAAAUCCAAUUAGAGUAGAGUUUGUAAUUAGAACGACCAAAAUUUUAACCUGAUAAGACUAGUGGUUUUGAUUAAUACUAAAUUAGAUAAUAAUAAUAAAAUACUUCGAAUGAAAUUAUUUAAAGUGGAAUUCAAUUUAGUUUUAAUAAUAUACUACAUAUUAAUUAAAAAACUUGGAACUUUUUUUAUUAAUUAAAAAGCCUAGCCUACUUACAAAUAUCAACAUAAAUAGUUCUAUUUAGUUUUAAUAUAUAUAUAUAUAUAUAUAUAUAUAUAUAAGCAGUAGGAAGUUGAAUUUGUUUUAUUAAUUAAUUCACCUGGUGGUGUAUUCAGUCAAGAGUGAAAGAUGAUAGGUUAUUUACAAGUCAAAAUCUUUAAAAAUUAAAAAACAUAAUAACUGAAAAAAGAUACAUAAAAUAUUUAAUAUUUAAUUAUUUAAGUCUCACUUAUCAAAAAAAUCAAUUAAACCUUUUAUAUAUAAAAAAACUGAAUAACCCUAUUAAUACUAAAUAGAAAAAUUAUUCCCUUUAAAUAUAAAAACUAGAAAAGCUUAAUGAUACUAAAUAGAAAAACAAAACUCAUAAACUAAAAAUAAAUAAAAAUUAUUGAGCAAAAAUAUUUAUUUUCCCAAAAAAACUUCUACAUUAAUUUUUAUAAAUCAGAAGAAACUCGUUCCGAGUUCAAAUUAUUCAUGGAGUUGAACCCUCUUGGUUGAAAAACAUCUCUUCUACCAUUAAAUUAUAUAAUGAAAUAUUCUUUCAGCAAAACCUCCUCAAUUAAAAACCAAUAAUCAUUUUAUGUGUGUUACCUCAUUACAAGUUCUUAACAUCUUUAUAAGAGUUGUUGUAUUAUAGAUCUGAAACAUAUUUAAAAGUUUAAAAUUAGUUUUAAUAUUAAUACAUCAAAACAAUUUGAAAAUAUAUUUUUUUUAAUUUUAAACAAAAAAAUAAAAUUUUAAAUUUUGAAAACAUGAUAUGCAUCAAGUUUCAAACCUAAGAAUAGUUAGAACUAGUUAUAUGACCCGCGCAAUGCCACGAGUCAAUUUGUUUUGCAUAAAAAAAUAUGAAAAAAAAAGUUAAGAUAUAAAAGUGUUAGGUUUUUUGCAAAGUUAUACUCAGGAGCCGUGAGUUUGACUGCAACGCCUAACUCAAGAGUAAUAUUUAUAAUAUUAAUAAUAAUAUCAAACUUGUAUGACCCAAGUUUAAGUGAGUUUUACUGCAAUACCAAAACCAAUAGUCUUGGAUGUGGAUGUGGCUGCAAAGUCGUGUCAUAAAAGUGUGAUAAUAAAAUAAAUUGAUUAAAAAAAAACCAACAGGAAGAAAAAAACUAAUAAAAAAAAGAAAAAAAAUCUGAAUUAACUGGGUUAACCCAUCAAACCAAGUUAACCCUUCAAACCUGGAAUCCGUGUCAUGAAAGUCUGAUAAUUAAACAGAAAAAAUUUAAUAUUAAGAAACUAAAUUAAAAAAAUAAUUAAAAAACAAAGAAAAAAGACAAAAAAAAAAACUAAAGGCAUUAACUUUUUCACUGUGAAUUGCACUAUGAAAUCCAUAGUAAAAGACUUAAAAAGAAAAGGAUAAGGAAAAAAACACAAAGGCAUACGCCACGGGUUAAUUUUUUUUUUCUUGCAUAAGAAAUAUGAAAAAAAAACUAAGAUUUAAGAGUGUUAGGUCUUUCUACAAAAACAUACCUAUGAGCCUUAGGUCUAGCUGCAACGUUUGACCCAAGAGUAAUAUUUAUAAUAUUAAUAAUAAUAUUAAACUUACAUGAAUCAAGUUUAAGUGGGUCUGACUGCAACACCGGACUCAAGAGCCUUAGAUGUGAGUCUGGCUGUAAGGUCGUGUAAAAAAAAUAUGAUAAUUAAAUAGAUUAAUUAAGAAAAAACAAAUGAAGAAAAAGAAAAAAAAAUUGAAUUAAUUGGGUUAACCCUUCAAAUCAGGUUAACAUGUCAAAGUUGAGAUUCGCGUCAUGAAAUUUUGAUAACUAAAUAGAAAAAAAAAAGUUGACGGGUUAACCCAGAAUUAACUGGGUUAAUCCGUUAACACAGGUUAACUCGUCAAGCCCGAGACAUGUGUCAUGAAAGUUUGAUAAUUAAAUAGAAAGAAAUUUAACUUUAACAAACUAAACUAAAUGAAAAAAAAAAAAUUAAAAAGCAAAAAAAAAAUUGUGUUAACUCGUCAAAUCAGGUUAACCCGUCAAAUCUGGGAUAGUCUGAUAACCAAAUAAAAAAAAUUAACAUUAACAAACUAAAUUAAAUAAAAAAAUUCAUGAAAAGAAAAAAACAUAAAAAAAUUCAUAAAAACAUAAAAAAAAAAAAAUUAUUAUUUCACUGUGAAUUUUAUAGUAAAACACUGAGCAGAUUUAGUUUAUUGUUAAUACGCAGUCUGGCUGACACCUAAUGUCCUAAAUAAGAAAACCCAUUGGGUUUUACGUAUGAACAGAAAAAAAUAGAAAUGUGAACAAUUGAAGAUAAGAAAGAGGUAUUUCAAACAUUUUUUUUUUUAACAAUAAUAUAUGAAGAUCUGGUGCAUAAUUUAACUAACUGAGUCCUGGCCUCGACCAAAUACUUUGGCUUCUUCUUCCCGCAAGCUAUCCACAGAGCCAUUUCACGAAUCAUGUCAUGCAUUUUCUCAUCUCUGGCGCCUUCAUCUUCCAAUCAGCAUUAUUGAGUAAGACUGUCAUUGAUGUUGUAACCUUCAAUUCGAGCCCCUCAUACAUCUCCAUAUUCACCCAAAAAUCCCUCCCAUGGCCAACCAAUAAUCUAAUUCCGGGAAGAAAGCACAAUACAGGAAACAAUAAUUAACUUUGUUGCUGUGAAGACUAUCAUAACCAAGCUUCAGCAGAGCAAGGUCCCUAUAGGAAGUACCUGAAAAGUCUGAGGUGGCCUUACUUCUGGUAGGGAUCCUGAGACGCCACUACCCAUAUAACGAAAUCGAAAUGGAGCUGUGAGUUGAGCAAGCUGUUGCAGACUUGAGUCAAGAGAGCAGUCUUGAGAAAGAUUGACAUCCUGCAAACCCACGACAACAAUGAGAUAUAUGAGAAAGCAGUGAAAAUUUUGGAGAGAUACUGGGCUGAGGAAGAAGAUGGAGAACCAAUUGUCCAAGAUGGUGGAGAUGGAAAUCAGCAAGGUUUUGCUUUUGGAACUAACCAGCCAGCGUUCCUCAAGGUGGCUUCAAGUUUGGGCGAACGCCUCUCUAGCUUUUUGUAGAUUUUUUCACUUGCUUUGAAAUUUUCAACACUAUAUGUUCGUUGCUGCCAAGGCUCAGAAUUUUUGGUCUGGCACAUAGGGUUUCAGUAUCGAUGGAAAUUGUCAAAAAAUGUUAAAACUUUAGGACUCCACCUUGGAAUUAGUCGAGUUGAAUUGUAAAAUUGAUGUAAAGGAUCUUUGUGAUUGUCUUGAUAUGGAAUUAGACUCGUGCUAUGAUAUAUGAUGAGUUCUUAUAUAUUGAGAGCAUCAGACUUGUCCCGAAUGGCUGGUUUCUGAUGUAGCUAGAGCAAAUUUUCUGAUGUAGCCACUGAAAAUGUAGCUGUUAUGGAUUGUGCAUCAUCUUUUCAACUUACAUCUCGAAUGGAUGAGAUGUUUGAGCCUGCUGCAAUGAAUGCAAUGUGAAAAAAACUGCCGCAGCUUGGAGGCAGUAGCACUGAAAUGAUUUCCAUGUAGCUGUUACUCAUGUUUAUCAAUCCCCUCUUAUGAGGCAUAAAGGGUUGACAAGUGGAAAGCGUUGAGGCACAAACAACCAUAGUUAUCAGACAUGGUUAUGGUUUGAGUUGUGGAUUUUGUUAGAUCAAUCAUAAAAUGAAGUUGUUUUGUUAUUUAUAUAAAUAAAAAUUAAAAAAAAUUAUCAAGUCAAUUUUUAAAUCAAUUCAAAAUAAAAACCUAAUCUGAGUUCGAUUUCAAGUAUAUGAAUUAUCGAAUUAAUCUGGCCGAGCAAGUUUUCAUAACCACGUACAAAUCAAAAGCCCUUUGAUUGAAUCAACAAAAUUCGGGAGAGGAUCUAAUCUCCAUCAUUAGACAUUAUAAAGAAGGGCUAGACGCAAUAUUAAAUGGGCCAGAAAGAUCUUAUCAUCUGAAAAUAAUAAAUGAAGAUUAGAGGGUUCAUUUUUUACAAUCAAGACUAGGGCUUUAAGUUUAUAGGCCUUUGUAAAGUGUAGUAGCUCUGUCCUGCGUAGCUCAACCAUGGCAGACAGCAACGAGAAUCAGCAUGACAAAGGCAAAGAGCAAGAGCAAUAUGGUGUCCUGCUUUACUACAAAUACACAGAAAUCCCUGAUCUCAACUCCCUCCUCUCCUUCUACAAUUCCAACUGCACUUCCCUCUCCCUCCUUGGCCGUGUCCGCCUCUCUCUCCAUGGAGUCAAUGUCACUGUAAUGCGCCCAACUCAAUAACCCCAACUUUUUGCAGUUUAAAUCUCAAAAGUUUGAAUCAUUUUGGUUAUUAAAAUUUUGGGUUUCCUUUGUUUUCUUCAAUCAUAUCACAAUCUCAUUGAAAAGUUUGAAACCUUUUGCUGUUUGGGAUUUUGGGUUUAGUUAUUUGAGUCCAAAAAUUGGAAAGUUUGGAACUUUUUGCUUAUUAGAAUAUUGGGUUUCUUUUGUUUUCUUCAUUGGUUUAAGUUGGAGGCAAGUUGUCUUCAUUGGAGAAACAUAUUGAAGCUGUGAAAGCUAUUAGUUUAUUUGAAGGGACUGAUUUCAAGCUUGCUUCUUGUCAUUUCCCAUUGAAUGACAAGGUUGCUCAUGAAUGUGGCUUCACUUCUCUUUCCAUUCGCAUUGUCAAGGUAUGAAUCUUUGUUCUAUCAAACUUUGGUUUCUAUUCGUAUCAUUGUUUUGAGCUAUUUGGUAUAGUAUAAGUUUUGAUUUGAUAUGCGUUUGUGUUUGCGUUUGCUUGCUUGGUCUAACAUCUUGAUGCGUUUUGGUGUGGCUAGGAAUUGGUUACUCUUAGCCCUUAUCCUCUUGUUAAAGCACCGGAUGUUUCAAAUGCUGGUAGGCAUUUGUCCGCUGUGGAGUUCCAUUCUCUUCUUCAAAGUGCUGGUGAGUUGUGAUUUUCUUUUUGAAAUUUUAUUGCAUGCUUUACUUUUUGGUUUGCUUUCGUUUUAUAGGCUAUGUUUAUUCUUCUUUGUAGUAUUUUGUUCUCUAAAUUUGGUUUUGUUGUUUUGAUAUGUAAGAGAAUGACUAGUAAUGGUUAACUAUGUGUUGGGUGAUUCUGUUUAUGUUUCUCAGGGAAGCUUGUAGAUAAAGAAAGUCUAGUUGAUGAUAAAGGUCUUGUUUUAUUAGAUGCAAGGAAUCUGUAUGAGACGAGAAUUGGGAAGUUUGACAUGCCAAAUGUGGACACUUUGGAUCCUGGAAUCAGACAGUAUAGUGAUCUGCCAUCCUGGAUAGAUGAUAAUUCUGAACAAUUGCGAGGAAAGAAUGUCCUGAUGUAAGUGCUUGUUCCAAAAUUGACUUUUUAUUGGUGUUGACCUGAACUUCACUCUGUUUUCCAUCUGAUUUGUAAAAUCAUGUUAUCAUGGUUGAAAGUUGGUGCAGUUAUGGCUUCAAACGCCCAUUUUUCCACUCUAAUCUUAGUAUGUUUUGUUUGGGUGCUGUGUAGGUAUUGUACUGGAGGAAUCAGGUGUGAGAUGGCAUCGGCCUAUAUUAGGUCAAAAGGUGCUGGAUUUGAGAAUGUAUUUCAGGUAAGCUUGGGAUCCAGCAGAAGCUAGUGUUAUGCUUACCUUGACCAUAAGAUCCUGAGGAAGUUAGGUCCUGAUUGUUGAUCGAUGUACUGAUAUAUUUUGCAAUGCUGGCUUUGUUGCAGUUGUUUGGUGGAAUACAGCGUUAUUUAGAACAAUUUCCAGAUGGUGGUUUUUUCAAAGGAAAGAAUUUUGUUUUUGAUCACAGGUAUGAUUGCUCAGAGUAAUUGCGACCCUAUUGAUUUUAAAGUUUUUACCUUAUCCUUUGGUGAUUGCAUAACAUCAUGCUUUUAUUGAACUUUCUGGUGUUCAAUAAAAGAAAACAAGCAAAGAAAAAGAAGUGUCGAUUUGCCGAGUAAUUUUGUAUUGUGGCUGUAGGAUUUCUGUUGGGAGCUCAGAUACAAAUAUCUUGGGAACCUGCCUUCUCUGUGGCUUAUCCUUUGAUGAUUACUCUUCACGAUGUAGAUGCUCAUAUUGUAGAAUGCUAGUAUUGGUCUGUGAUAGUUGCCGGGUAAGUUUUGAUGACUAGAGUCCUUCUACCAUUGAAUGUUAAUAUUUCUGACCAUUUAAGCAUGUCUAUCAUACUUUAGCUAGCUCCAUCUUGUCCAGUGAAUAUUCUAAGAACCUUAACCAAUGCUUCUCGAUUUUUAUCUAAAGUGAAACUUAAAAUAAUAGCUUUUCAGAUUUUCAUUUUCCCUUCUAAAAACAAUCAUUGCCUAAUAUGUAUGUGUUUUGAUGAACUGUUUGUUCAGCUCCCAUGCCGCUUGUAGGUUUCUGUAUUUUGUUGGGUCUUAUUUGUUAAUUUUUGUGGGUGGGCAGAAGGAGGAAGCUGUUUAUGCUUGCGAGCUGUGCCAAAAACAUGGAAAGGUAAUUGAGUCAAAUGUUGCUGAAAAUGGUGAACAGCAAAAUAUAUUGCCUCAAGUUGAGCUCAAAACCAUUUCCUCAGAUACUAUCCUCUCGCCUCAACUUCAUGGGGAACAGGGUAAGGUCUGUCUCCUUAUCACUUGGAUUGUUUUGGUUCCGUGUUUACCAAGAUAACAUGUAGUACAAUGGUGUAUUUAUCUUGGCUAAUAGUGAACAUCUGUCUUUUUUUAUCCCUGUUACAUCUUUCAUUUUGUUUUCUUCCAAGAACUUCUCAGUCUUAAUGUAAUUGUUCAUCCAAUAAAACAGGUGCUAGACCUCCAAGAAAGCUAAGAAUCUUGUGCUUGCAUGGGUUUCGGCAGAAUGCAUCUGGUUUUAAAGGAAGAACUGCAUCAUUAGCCAAGAAACUUAAAAACAUUGCUGAGCUUGUCUUUGUUGAUGCACCUCAUGAGUUGCCUUUCAUAUACCAGCCAUGUGUCUCGGAACUAGAGUGCAGUGAUGAAUCAUCAUUUUCGUCACAACAAAUUCUCCCCCCAACAGAAACUUGCAGGGGAAAGUUUGCGUGGUUGAUAGCACCUGAUUCCAAAGGAAGGAGUGCAACUGAUUGGAAAAAGGCAGAUAGUCCAUUUGAUCCCCUCCAGUACCUGCAGCAAACUGAAGGGUUUGAUGUAUCAUUAUCGUAUUUAAAGACAGUAUUCUCUCGGGAUGGGCCAUUUGAUGGGAUCCUGGGAUUUUCUCAAGGAGCAGCGAUGGCUGCUUUACUUUGUGCACAAAAAGGGAGGCUAAAAGGUGACAUUGAUUUCAGAUUUGCAAUUUUGUGUUCUGGGUUCGCUCUUCCAUUUGUGGAGAUUGAGAGUGGAUCGAUUAACUGCCCCACUCUCCAUAUAUUCGGAUGUGUUCCAGGCAAGGACAGGCAGAUUGCAAACAAAACAAGCAGAGAACUUGCUUCAUUAUUUGAAGAUGGUUGCUCAGUAAUUAUUGAGCAUGAUUGUGGUCACAUCAUUCCUACUCGGACUCCAUACAUCGAUGAAAUCAAAGGCUUCCUUCAACGCUUUCUGUAAUGCGAUUAAAAAUCCUUUGUUAACCAAUAUGGUUACUUUAAGAUGGCUUCUCAGCUAUUACCUGAUCCGUAUUUGCUUGUUACUCAUUACACCAUUUUUCUUCAAUCACUUGCAAAUACAAUUUAAUUCCAAGAUUUAUCUUUUUAUUAAAAAUAUUUUCGAAGUCCAUUGAAGCCCCUCAACUGAGAAUUUAAGAUUUGUACAACGUACAGACGGAAAUACUUCAUAAAAAACAGAGGAGAACAGUCACUCGUCUGCCUCAUAGAAGACCAGACAACGAACACGCAAGUUCUUCAGAAUGAAAACUGAGAACCAACAAAUCCUAAAUUUAGAUUUUUUGGAAUAAAAACUUUCAGCUUGUGUUUGGAAUUCUGAAGCAUUAUGGUUCUUAUAUCUUUACUUCAGCCAAUUGAGCCAAACAACAAAGCUGAUGGUUUCUAUAUGCAUUUCUCAGGAAGAGAUUUACAGUCAUAUACAUGAAACAAACAAGUAUGAAGCUUUGCCGACCUGGUGUUAGCAUUCGGCAAAUACACACAACUAUUCGUUAUGAACUUGAAAUCUAGAUUUUCGUUAUGACCUGGUCUUGUCAAUUUUUAUUUUCAACACGAAAAAUAGAUGCAUGAGUGUUAUGAUAUAUGCUUAGCAACCUGAAUUCCUUGGUGAUGAUCGGACAGGGGCUGGGAUGAACAUAUGGACCAGGGUAGUUUGGGCCACGUACUCACCUCCAGAAACUCCAAAAAAAAACUUGUUUUACAAUCGUGAGAAUCACCUCAUUGACCCAUUAGAUCAAUGACAAGCCCGAUCACUCCAAGAAUGGGCCAAUUCAUCAUUCAAUAAACCAAGUCAAGCUCAAUUACUUCACUGGCCUAAAAUCACAUUCCAUGGAAAACCUAAUUUAGUAUGAAGUUUUUAUAACCUCAUCAGAUGGCCUCAAAUUCUAUUAUUAGCAGAAAAAAGAAACCAUCCAGGCAUUUCAUUGUUGUGGGAAUUACGUAGAUUAAUAUCAUCUGCUUCCCAUGUUGGAAUGUUAGGGUGUGUAUUUGUUAUAUAUACUUGCAUGUUGUAGCAAACAAAGCUCAUUUAUAGAUAAACAUUUCCAUUUUCCAGCUAUAAUUAUCGGAUUUGGCUUGAGAUUUGACCCAGUUUAGAGCUCGGUUUAUUAGGUUAUUGGAUUAACUCAUGGUCACUAAGUCAUUCCAUAUUACUUCUAAUUCGACACUGUUUUGAAAAUUAAAAAAAUAAAAUUCAUUCGAGUUAACUUAUGGAUCGUGAAUCAAUUAUAUAGUCAUCUAAAUUUUAACUGAAUUAAUAUUUAAAAUAUUCAAAAUAAAACCUAAUCUAGAUUGACGACAAAUUAUUGAAUCGACCAGUCGGUCGGACAGGCCGAGCAGGGAUGGAUAUAUAUGUCCAUGAUAAUUCUAACACCAGCUACGAUCGUCCAUCGAAGCAAGUGUUGUAAUCAAUCAGUGUCAGUACUGUUUCUACCCUUUUUGAGUUGCUUAAGAACUAAGAUGUUGUUGUAAAUAAUAACAGUAAAGGAUGUUAAGAGUUAGCUGAGAACCACGGAGCAUCAUUUUGAGGUCGGAGCUUCACGCCCUCACCGCCCAAGCAGCACCAUCAAAACAACCAUCUAGAUGUACAAAACUACAAAGGCUCCUGGGGAUAAUCCAAGCAUGCAACUAUUUGGGUUGGUAGCUCGUCUAUUUCUGCACAUGGAAAGAAGCUUCAGACUUGUGUUUUCUCUCUUUUCUUUCACUCACGCAAGCAACCGAUCGUGAGCAUGAAGUGUUUUGACUUUUGGGCGUAGUCUGAAUCAAUGAAAUGCUUUCCUUCUUGUGUUUUUUUUAUAUGAUGUAUUGUUGAAGUGUUCUUUAUUAGUAAAAAGAAAUAGAAAUCUCAUUACAUGCCUUGAUCGGUAAAUUCUGAAGAAAGUAGAGUGGAUUAAGUUGAGAAAACCUGCACUAAACCUGAUAUGAACUGAGUUUAAUGAUAUAUUGAUUCGAUAAAAUUAAGUUGAUAUUAAAGAAAAGUUUUUUAAAAUAAAACGAAACUGCUUUAAUAAAAAUAAAUAACCUUAAUUGAUUUUUCCUUCGGUAGGUUGUAACAAUUGAGCCAGGAGUCUACAUCCCAUCCAUUUUUUACGGUCCGGUCCAGAUAGGUACUUCCCUUCCUGCGAAAGCCAUUAGGACACGUCAUGCAAGAAGCUAGUUGCUCUGCAGCUUGCAGAUUACAUUAAUGACAUGUUUGGAAUUGUAAAUCUGAAAAAUAUAUUCAGACUCGUCGUAAUUCAUAUAGAAAAUCCUUGAAUUUUACUAAGCUUUCAGGAGCUGGGAUUAGUUCCUGAGUAGCUCCAUGCCAAAAGAAGUAGAACACACAGUCCUUGCUAAACAACCGCAGUCAUGGAAGAGUUAAGGAAGCUCAAAAUAAUCUGGAAGUUGCUUCGUGUGAUCCACUUAAAAUUGUCAUUGGGACAAGACAAUGUCUUGUUGCCCUAAUUUCUAACUCUAAAAUCGUUUUACGACACAUUGGGCUUUCGCUACAUUGAUGUGAUCGGAGCGCGGAAGCAGAGUUAUACAGAAGCUGCUUCCGGUUGACAAUUCCCUCGAACAGUUGAAGAGUCAAUACAAUUGCUCAUUGCCUCAUCUCACUCCACAGGUAUUUUCAGGCCUGUAUCCUUUUUCACGUUGGAGAGGUAGGACAACGCCAUGGUUCUCAUUCCUGAGGCCUUUUCCCUCGUUUACCUCCUCUAUUCUUGUGAAACUAUAUAUUUAAAAAUAAACUCAGGUUAAUCUAUUAAUUUAUAGGUUGAUUUAUCAACCCGCAACAAGGAUAUUAAACCGUGAACAAUUGAGUCGGGUAUACUAACUAUGGCUACAUUAUUGCCAUUUUGUUCUGGUUAAUUAAUUUUAUUAUGCAAUCUCCAAUAAAUGGCUACGGUCAUGUUCACACCAAGAAGAACUUUAUAUUGACAGAUGCUUAUCGUUUCUUUUCCCCUGAUCGAUGUGAAAGAUGAUACCAUGUUUAGUUUUUUGGGGUGGCCGUAGGAUAAUAAAACAUUCGUUCUUUUUUUUUUUUUUUUUUUUGAGAAGUAUAAUAUUGCAUUAGAAGACGCCAAUAGAUGACGGGAACAUAGAGAUUCUGUUUACAGGACACCUAAACAGAACUAUGCAAUGAAAUGAACAACAUACCAAGAAACGAAAAGAACAAAAUGCAGCUACAAUAUACAUAUUUGAAGCCAAGAAAUCAAAGAAGCAGCUAAAAGAUGCAGAUUUGGAGCCACACCAGGAAGAGAAGCCAAACAGACUUCUACCGAUAUCCAGAUUAGAAGAAAAACAAAAUCUUUCCAUCUUGCAUCUUCUUAUCCAAAACAAAAUACCAGCCAUGGACUCUUCACAGAACAACCUUUGACAACUUAACAAUAAGAGAACCAAGAUACUCGACGCAUUAACAUAGAAAAAACCAUAGCAGGCAAAAGGAAGCCCAUCAACAGAAGCCCCUAGACUUGCAACAUCAAAAUCUGAAACCAAGAAGUUUCACAAAAGACAAAGAUCUGACCAGCUGGAAUUGCUUCUGUAUAGCUAGAUGAUUCUUCUCCUUUCUAGAAAUAGAGUAAUCUGGGAAACAAUCCAGUUUCCUUAGCAUCCGUAACCAGAAUUUAAAGAAAAAAAAAGGCCCAAAUAUCAAGCAGAUUAGAGCCAAGCGACCCAUUCAGAGUUUCUAAACACCCCCUCUUUUUUGCCAUGUGAUCUGCCAUAUGAUUACUCUCAUGAAGAGAAUGAGUGAAUGUGAGUGAACCAAAACAUGAAGCUACUCUCUGAAUAGAGGAGAAAAGAUUAUGAUGCAACCAAGGUCUAUUAUGAGGGUUAUUCAUCCAGCUAAUGACAUUGGUCGAGUCAGAUUCAGCAAUAAUUUGUUUAUGAUGCAGAUGACAGUUAGAAGCUGAUAAUUCAAUAGCUUUGACAACCGCUUUUAGUUCAGCUACAUUAGAGUCUAAAAUCCCAACUGGCAAGGAGAAUAUACCAAGAAGAAUCCCAUGAUGAUUUCGCAAGACUCUGCCUAUACCUGAGGAUCCCGGCUUCCCAAGAGAGGAACCAUCCACAUUCCAUUUGAAGCAAUUAGUCAUAGGGGGAGACCACACAACAACUGCUCUAUGAUUUGAAGAAUUAGUCCAUCGAACUAGCCCUUCUAUUGACCUUAUUAAUUCUGAAGUGGAAUAAGAGAAAUCAGGCUCUAUAGCCUUUAUCCAAAAGCAGAGACGAGUAAUAAUAAGGAUAAACAAAGUAUCAUAAUUCGGGGUUGUUUGCUUGAAUAUUGCAUCAUUACAAAGAAGCCAAAGAGACCAUGUCAUUGAAAAGAACAACAUCAACCAAGCUUUUUUUUGAAAUUUUCCAUAAACCAAGGAAUCCCACUGAGAGAAAAGAGCCGCCAAGUCUUUUGGGCAACACCACGCUAAGCCCCACCAAUUGAUAAUUUUAAACCAAACUAUCCAAUUUUUAUGACAAUGCAGCAAUAUAUGAUCCACCGAUUCUUCCUCAACAAAGCAAAUUGGACAAGCAGCAACUGAGAUGUUCAAAAUUCCUUUUCUGACCAGCAUACUACGAGUAUUAAUUUUUUUUAAUUAUAGCCAUUCAGCAAACAUUCGUUCUUGUUUGGUAAUGAAAUGAAAGAGAGUUCCACCACUGUUGGUCGUGCGAGGCCUCGCCUUUAUGUUACAUAUUUAUGCUGUUCCUCACCUACUUCCUAACAAUGGGCUGAUCUCUCCCCCCACCUCUUCACUGAGUCUGCUUCUUGAUGAACAGACAGUAACAUCGUCUUCUUUUUUCCAUGAAUGUGCUGCAAUUUGUAUUAUCAUCUCUUAUUACUCUUUCUGAUGCGGCCAAGCCUGAUUAGAUUAGGAAUCAGAGAAGAAGAUGAUGGAAAAAUCACAAAAAAAUUUCAAAAACAAGAAGCCUGCUCGUGCUGUUGUUUCUCGAUAAUUUAUUCUGCCAAAAUCUUCUCCAGGAAAAAUAAAAGGAUAAUAAUAGCUUAAACUGUAGCUGUCCGAACGUAAAAGGAAAAAAGGGAUCUUGGUAGGAAAAUAAAAUCAAAAGUCCAAAAUUAAAGGCUAAAACAAUAAAAUUGAUUAAAACAAUAUUUUUAUAGGCUUAAUUUGAAGGAGCCAAUUAAAUUUACUAUCAAAUCUAAGACCUAUUAAUUUUUUCAAGUUGACUUUGAGUAACUUAUUAAAUCUAACACCUAAAAUUUGCUCUAGAUUAAUUCUUGAAUCGGUUUAAAAACUAUAUAUCUAGUAAUGAUCACACGAGGAUGUUAAGAAAUAUUAAACCUAGAUUCUAAAUUUUACCAUGCACUAAAAGCAUCUCUUGAAAUUCAAUCGCUAAACCAUAAGAGAUGAUCUAAAAUUUAGGAAAGCUUUGCCACUACCCAAUUUAACCCAAACCUAUAGCUCAAGAUUAUAGUUUUUAUAAUCCAUUAAGGCUAUGUUUAUUUACUUGUAGUUUUUGUAUUUUCGGUGCAAAAAACAUAAUAAGAUAUUUGAUAACACACCAAACUAUGUUUUUUUUUUUUUUUAUUGUGGGGCUUACUAAAAAAUUAAGUUUGAAACGCAGUUUUUGAGAAACAAUUUUUACAUGUUUUUAUAACUGAGUUUCGUAAAAGAGUUUCGUAAAACUCUGUUUGUUUUUGCGUUUCAAAAGCACUUUUGAAAAAAAUUAUUUUUUUUUUACUUCAAAUUCAUUUUUUUUUGUUUUUAUAUCAUUUUGAUGCGCUGAUAUCAAAAAUAAUUUUUAAAAAAUAAAAACUUAUUAUGAUACAUUUCCAAAUAAAAAACACUUUGAAAAAUAACUGCAAUCACACAACUACCAAAUAUUUUAUACAUAUUUUUUAUUGUAUAUAAACCUCAACCAUAAUUUUUACUAAAUACAUAUCUAAAUAUAACUAAUUAACCACAUAUAACAAUACUUUUUUAAAAUUUAUUUUUAAAAAAUUAUAAUUAUGAAAAUUAUCUAAAAAACAAACGGCACUCUCUAAGUUGUCCUCUGAACAAGGUUUUAGAAAGCAAUCAAAGUAGAUAAACGACAAGACAAAAGAAUCACUUUUGAGUUGGCAAGGUCCAACCUUCAGACAAACAAAGGACCCGACAUCACUAGGUGUGCUGGGUUGUGUUGGACCCUAAACAGUGAAAAAGAACAAACGUUCUUGGCAGUUAGCAAAUUGUUGUUCAAAUAAAAUAAAUAAUCACAACAAAAAAGCAAACAUGUCUUCCUUUAUUUUUGCAAGAAUCAAGUUGACUCUCAACAUCCAGAAAAUUGUUGGGUUUGGAAUUUGUGUUGCAAUGGUUAUUCCACGCACUUGCAUCUCCAUGUUUGCAGGCUGGGGAUAAGGACCUCUCCCUCCACUGUAGCUUCGCCAGUGACCACACAGUCUACCCCCAUUCUGGGGUUCAAGCUAUGGUUAUUCAUCAUUAAUAACAUUAUAAAAAAGAUUAAGUUGUUACAUGAAAUUAAUUAUUUAAUAAAAAAAAUAAGUUGUUAAUGAAAUUUAACUGUUCUUCCUUCAAAGCCGAUCCAUUCAAUUCUCAACGUGAUUCGUUCUGAAGUAACUACUAUAACCUUAUCUUUAGAGUGUGAUUCCAAAGCUGCAGUAGAAAAGGAACCUAUGACCUGAUGAUUCAUAUCCAUUAUGGAAUAACUAUUACCUUAUCUUUAGAGUGUGAUUCCAAAGCCUAACUAUGAAGGUGAAAAUAAAAAAAUCAGAAGUUCAUGUUUUAGUUCAUGACUCUAGGGACUUUGAUUUGGAGUGAUUCUCAAAAAAUAAUUUGAAGGUGAAAAUACAAGCCUCUCAAUUAUGCAUUUGGAACAUUAAAUUUGAGAAUCAAUAGCAAUACAAAGUUAACUAGUUGCUGAAACAGCAAUAAAAUUUUUAAUAAUAGUUUGUCCAUUAUUAUAUAUAUAUAAAGGGCAUCAAAUUUAAACAAUUCUAGUCUCAUGAAAGUAACUUUUAAUUCCAACCUUCAUUUGCAAAUCUUAAUUAAAAAAGAAGGAAUACAGUAUAUUAUGCUUUCAAAAACUACACAAGCCACUCAAUUAUUUUAGCUUUGGAGGCAACGUAAAGAAAACAUCAAAGCUAUUAGCCAGACAUGGGAAACUAGGAAGGAGAAUUUGCUUAGAACUUUGAUAAUAGAACUGACGCAUGCUGACCAAAUUUUGUUCUUAGCCAACCUAACUGGCAACCAAAACCAAACACUUUACAGCAAAGUAGCUUAUUAUACAAAGAUAACACUUGACAACAAAAACUUUUGAUUUGAUAGCAACCCCACAUUUCAAAAAUGGGACUAAGCUAUUCUUUUUACUGUUUAACAGUUUUGAACACAAAUGAACCCGUGCAGCCAACCUUAACCAGUUCAGUUUGUGGCUUAGUGGAGUCAAAUGAUACUGUAGAAUAGUACAGCUGCAUAGUGGAGUAUACACUGCAUGAUAUAAUCUCGAGGAAGGUAGCAUAGUGACACCACAAUUUUGCAGCCAUUUGAUACAUGACAAAAAAAAAUUGAAAAAGAAGGUAGAGGCAGGAAAACUAUUUCCAAAUUCCAGUUCACCGACUCAUAGGGAAUCACCAUUCAUCAUUGUAUGACCACUUCAUCUAAACUCCCAUAGAUGCAAACUUUCCUUAAGAGGAUAUCAAAAUAUUCCUACACAUUAAGCACUCUCCGAUCACCCAUCUCGUUAUGCUAACUUGCACCUGUAUAGCAAAGAUUUUCACAGAUAUUCCUUUGCCUAUUCUCAUAAUUCCUUUCCCAAAUAUUGCAGAAAAUUGAACAAGUUAGUGAAUACUCAGCAUAAUCAAACAAGAACCAUUAAAAGGUAAGAGUCGUUAUUUAAACUACACAUCUGAUAUUAUGUAGAAAGAAUAUUUUGAAAUUAAUACAAAAGAAGUAAAGCAUCAUCAAAAAGAGUCCACAAGAUGAAUAACCUGAAAGAGCCAUAACAUCAAGGAUUCUUUGAGCUAGUAACAAUUCCAUUAAAACUACGACUAAAAGAAUUUAAAUAGAUGUUUACAAUAACCAAUUUCAUCACUCAACUUGCAAUAACUCCACAUUGUUAGAAUCUAAACAAACACAAACAUGCAUGAUUUAAAAAAAAAAAAAAACUCAUGCAAAUUGAGUUGGGGAUUAAGAAUAAUUACUUGUUGACAAGGGAUGCCUAGUUUUUUGAGCUUCAAAGUCCGAGUAACAAGAAGUUUGUGAAAGUCACCAAUUUCAGAUUCAAGCUUGGUUACAUGGGCUUCAACUCCUUUCCCUAUUCCAUUUAGAAACUCUGGAAUUCCAACUUUCACUGCAACAAAAAUAACAAAAAAGUAACAACAUUCUUCAAGCUCAGCCUCUUAUUAAUUGCAAAGAUUAAAAUCAAAGAAAAAGAAACUUACAACAGAAAAUCUAUAAGAACAUCGUUGUUCCAACAAUGAAAAACAAUGCAUCCACCAAAGAUUCAAUCUUUCAAAACUCAAAUCCAUUUUAAUCUCUCACAGAAAAUCACACAAAAAGAAAUAUCCUUUUCCAGUUACUAUUUACAUGAAAAUCAAAUUUUCUUCAUUUUACACAUGCAAAAAAUGAAAACUUUAUGAGCAGCAAAAGGGAGACAUGAAAAUUAAAGCAAAACCCACCAAUCUAUUCCCAUUUUCAAUCCAAGCAACUAAAAUCGAUUAAGAAAUUAAUUCAAGAACAUGAACUUAGUUAACGAUUACACAAAAAGAAAGAGCUCAAACGAAAAUGUUACCGAGGUAAGGAGAGGAGGAUUUGGAGAAGAAUCUAGAGAGCCCAGGUGUAGAAAUCGCUCGUUGUGGUGGGAUUGAAAAGGCCCUUUUAGUGUUUGUGAAUAUUUGCCUCCAUGUCAUUGCCAUCUCCGUAAAGCUGCUGCCUGCUACGGGGUUUUGGGGUUUUAGCAGAGCGGCCACGUUGUCCAGUGUUUUGAUGUGUUGUAAGUUUAGAAACGACUGGUCAUUGAGACAUUAGGAGGUCAUAGACGGUAUGUCAUUUAUGAUAACAAUAUGUGUCAAAUUAUAUUAUAGUCCCCAUGAAGUUUCUAAUAUUAUAAAUUAGUCCUUUUAGUUUCGAAGAAUCUAGAUAACCCAUUUGUAGAGAUUGCCUGUUGUGUUGGAACUGAAAUUAUUCUUUUUGUGAUUAUAUGCAUUCAUGCCAAGUUUUUUUACUAAAAUUAAAAGAUUAAAUAAUAUUUUUUUCUAAAAUAAAAUUGUUAGUUAAGUGUUAUCAGGAUUUAUCCAACUUGCUAACUUCUAAUAAAACUCUACUACUCAAUAUUAAUCCACAACUCUCUUAUAAAUUAUCUUCAUCAAUCAAUCCUUUGCUCUUAUCAAAAUCUUGCUCUCUUUAAUCCCUAAACAAGCUAGGUUUCUUUCGUUGUUUGUUUCUUGAGAAAACUAUGCAGAUAUUUGUGAGAACCCUGAGACUCAAAACCAUCACCCUUGAUGUUGAAAGCUCCGAGACAGUCGAAGACUUGAAAGCAAAAAUCUAUGAGAAGGAAUUAGGCAUCCGUCCUGAGAACCAACGUCUCAUAUAUUGUGGAAAGCAAUUAGAGGAAGGAAAAACCCUGUCAGAUUACAACAUCCAGAAGAACUCCACUAUCCACCAUGUUCUUAGGCUUUGUGGCGGCGGCAAGCAGCAAGCCUUUUAUUGAUCUUUCUUCAUGAUAUGGCAGAGAAAAUUCACAAAGUGCCUCCUUCUUGAUCAGUUUGUUGCUUAUUUAUCAGAGUAAGUCAUGUAGCUUUUCGUUAGUAUUUCGAAUUCUAAGAGACAAAGACAGAUUUUUUGAAGAAGACAUGGUUUUGGAGAUUGAAUUUUCUUUCGUAAACUUUUUUAAGAUUUUAUAUAUUAAUCAGUUAAGUUUCAUGAUUUUGUUAUCUAUGAUGGUUUGCCAUUAUUGUUAUUCCAUGUUAUCAUGUUAUAAUAGAUGACAUAGUAAUUAAAUCGGUUCUAGCUUAUAACCAUGCCCAAGACUUGGGAUAUAUAUCAUUUUAUUUUUUUACAAUGUUUUUUUUUUUUUUAAAUCAAAUCCAGGUGUGUAUUAAUGACUUAGAGAAAACUCAAAAAUCAGAUCUAAAUCAUUAACUAAAUGCGUUAAUGACCUGCAUUUUAGAUUAUUAAUUAAAUGUGAAUUGAUAAUUCGUAAUUUGAAUUUACCUAUCGUAUUAAUAAUAAUAUAAUUAUGAUAUAAAGAUUCUUAACAAUAAUAGCUAUCACAUGGCCCAUAAUAUACAUUUACGAAAUUGAUUUUUUUCUUGGAUGAUUUUUAUAUUUCAAUUUCAUGUUUUUAAUGAAGAUUAUUAACAAUAAUGGCUUUAACAUAUUAAUGUAACGUUUAUAUGACACCCCCCCCCCACUAGUUUAGUUCGAUUCAAUCUAAUUGAUGGUAAUAACAAAAGAUUUAAUCCCUAGUUGCCUUUUUACCGUACUAAUUCUCUACAAAGGUUAGAAAAAUUAUAAAGUUUCUUCUUGAUUACAAGUAGCUGAAACAUUAUAAUACUUCAAGUGCAAUUCCUCGAUCAUAAUCUAGAACAACGACUAUGUAAAACAAAGUUCUUGAAAAAAAAUAUGUGGCAAGAAGUGGUGGUCUUUAUCCUGUUAAAUUACUCCAUCAUUGUCUGCCAAGAAAAUGUACUUUGUCUUUCAUGACAAGGUAUAGUGCAUUCAAAACCCAAGGCUUUGGCAAUCUGUGCUUGAACAUGAUGCUACCUCCAACUUUGAUUUCUUACCGUGCUGACAUGUUGAUGCUUUUUGCCACCUCUCAAAAGUUUUGACAGUGAAAACUUACAACAGGAUUCAUCAACAGGAAUAGAGGGUCCAUGCAUUUAAAACCGCUAGCUGUACGUAGUUGCAUAGAACAUGCUAACUUGAGUAGGUGCUGAUAUAUAUAUAUAUAUAUAUAUAUAUAUAUAUAUAUAUAUAUAUAAUUUUUUAUUAUAAUAUAAUAAUAUAUAUUAUACAUUAAAACAAAAUAAAAACAAAAAAACUCUAAAACAUUCCAAAAAUCCUUUCAAAAAAUUUAUGAUUUUCUUGUGUAUUUUUUUAUCAAUUUUAAUUAAUAUUAGUUUGUAUUUUUAUAAUAUAAAUAUAUAAUGUUUUUUUUUGGACCGGGUACAAACCAACCCAGCUAUUCAGGUUGAGCUAGAACUAAACCGUCCAAGACGGGGGGUUAAAUAUUCCCCCUGUCCCUCCUUCCUGCAUGCAGAAUGAAUUCUGCAUGCGGGCGCGGCUUGAAGCCGAGGGAAAAUAGAAGGGGAGAAGAGAAAGUUGUGGGGGGGGGGGGGGGGAACCUGGUCGUAGCUAGCUGUCACGGUGAUGGUCAUGCCGUGGAAUAUGCCGAGCGGCUGGUGGUAGUUGCGGCGGAGCUGGCAGCGACAGGUGGUGGUUGUUGCCUUUCUCCUCCACUGUGCAAAGACACAGGGAUCUCUUUUUUUUCUUUCCCUCUUCUGCUUUUAUUUCUAUUAUUUCCACCCCCUCGUCUCUUUUCUAUUUCUUCCCUCCUGGUUCUUUUUUUUUCUUUCCUCUUCUCUUCCCCUCCUCUGUUCUCCCAUGUUUUUCUUCCAACUCUCAAAAUUCCCCCCUCCUGUUUUUUCGUCUCUGCCUCUGUCUCAUUUACCUCCCCAAAACCAUUCCUCCUCUAAAACUUCCCCCAGCUUCUGUUAUUUAUAAGUGCAGGGGAGAGGUAGCCACCCUAUCCUGUACAAGCGCAAGGUAAGGUGGCAUGGGGUGGGUUUUGUUUUGUUUUUUUUCCAAACAGUAUAUGAAACGGUGAUGAUGCGGCCAAAAUGAGCCAUUUUAUUUUAAAAAAUAACGCCAAAAUAUAUCAAUUAUAAAUCGAUCCUCAAUUUUUGAUUUGUUUAACUAAGUUUUCAAUUUCAAUUUUUAUUUUAAAAAUUAAUUCAAUUAUAUCCCUGUCAAAUUCUAAUUUCAUCCAUAAUGUUGGCCAAUGUUUUCAUUUUAGUCCUUGGUCAAAGAUUUAUGCAAUUUGACCCUCAAUUGAUCAACAAACUUUCAAUUUCUUCAAUUUAGCAUCUAAUUCGGACAAUUUCAAUUCCUCUAUUUAUGUGUCUUUUCUAGUUUGGUUCUUGGUUUUGGAUUUCUUCAAUUAAGUUCAUAAUUGGCCAUCAAACUUUAAUAUUUAUGCAAUUAAGCCCUUGAUUUGACCAAUUCAACUCUUGAAAAUUAUAUUUUGACCUCUGAACUUUAAUCUCUUCAAAUUAAAGCUCAAAUUCACUUAAAAAUUAAUUUUUCUUGCAAUCAAACCCUUUAUAAGUUCAAUUACACUUUCAGUUAAAUUUGCAAGUGCACAAAUCGUAACAAGUAAUAAAGUGAUGAGUAGAGUAUCGUCCCACGAGGAUUUGUAAAAAUUACUACUAAUUACCAAAGUCUUUUAAAUUAUGAUCUAUUUGAGGAAUCGAAUAAGAUAGUUUAUGAAACAAAAAUUAAUGAUUAAAAACAAACAACCAAUUGAUUAAAUAUUAAUGAAUUCAAUUGUACUGGUUCUAGGAUUUCUGACUUACCGUAACUAUGCCUACAUGAACUUUCUUGAUUAAAUUAAUUACUCCUAAUGUUGAUAAUCAGGUUUUCCUUAUGUAAAUAUUAAUCUCUCUCGAGCAUCAAUAAAUUAUUUCGACAAACAAAUUUCAUAUACUUUACAAAAUUUCUGAACUUGUCGAAAUUUAUUAAGUACUGUAAAACCUGUAACGAUUACAAAAGUUCUUAGGAUAUCUCUAUCCUAUAGAUUUCUUACGGUAUUUCAAACAAUAGCUAAAACAAUUAUCACUUCUCAGUUUCAAAUUGAAUUCUAAAUCAUGCAGAUGUUGGCCAAACACACGCAAGCAUUACACAUAGAAUGAAAUACUCAACAUCUUAAUGUAAUAAUUCAAUCGAAGAAAUUGUUCACAUAAUCAUAGUAAGGUUACAUCAAAAAUCCCAGAAUAAAAGUCUACUCCAUAGUUAAAUUAAAGAGAAACAAACUUGAUACGAUGAACAUCAAUCAAGAGCAGAGAAUUUCCGUCGAAAAGAUAGGUGUCCUCCCGGUUUUUAAUAGUUUUGCCUCUGCCCCUCUUUUGUUCCCCUUGGUGCCGCCUCCUCUCUUUUUCUUUUCUAUGUUGUAGGGUUUCUGUUCGUCCUCUCUCCUCCUUUUUCUUCUUUUAUAUUGUGGCUUUUCUACCCCUGCAGUAAUGAGGAAAGUUUCCUUUUCUGCAUUAAAUUCCUUCCUACUCAGACAUUGCGGGCCCGAUUUGAGGUAGAAAACGUGCGAAUUCAAAGAUCUCUAUUUCUGGAGAAAUUGUAGAGAAUCAAAUUUUCUUUCCAACGAAACUGAUCUUGCAAUUUUUGGACAUCUGAGGGUUGAGAUAAGGGCCAUAAACCGAAACAGUCUUUGCAGUGCAGGAAUUUCGGGCUGGUUCAAUCCUUGUUUUUCAACUCGCUUUUUGGGCUUCGAAACAACAAAACUGAGUUAUAUGCCCUUCAUAUGUUUUGUAGACCUUCAUCUCAGCUAUUUGAAAAUGGUUACGAACAUCCGAACUAAAUUGUAUAGCUUCUUUGCAGCACAUAAUGAAUCACUGUUCAGUUUCACUGCCGGCUCUGCCUGUUCAGUAACCUAAGAUCUGAAAACACAUUAAUUUCCCACGAGGUCAAUAGUUCAAAAAGAGAUUCAAAAUUCUAAUUGUCUUGUGCAACAUAUCCAAAAUAUUUAAAAAUCAAGCAUGAAUAGAAAAUAUACAUGCUAAAAAUUCCCUUAUCAAAUACCCCAAACUUGAAUGUUUGCUUGUCCUCAAGCAAAAAGGAAACCAUGAAAGCAGAGUGCUAAAAGCUCAUGAUAAGUUCAACUUUCACAUUUAAAAGGCUCCAUCAUGCAGCAUUCACUUCUUGACUUAGCUCAUAGACAAUAUUAGAUAAUGAAAAAUUAAACAUUCCUACUCUCUGUGCAGGUCGUUGUACAAACUUCCAACUCAUCCAUGUGUUUGAUGUGUUUAGCAUCCUUGAACCGUGCACAGUCAUUCCGUCAUUUUUUUUUUUGAACAAGGUAGCCAACUUUAGGAGUAAUAACACACUUUUACUUGUCUUUUGACAAGGGUGAUUUUUUUAAAUUUAUCACUUGUCUUUUGACGCGAAUACAAACAUUUGUGAUGAAUGCACCCGGUUACUUAACAGGUCAUAAACUUAAAAUGCUUUGCAUACUCAUAUUUUAAGUUGCCGUUUGACGUAAAAGUAAACAUUUGUGAUGAAUACUCCUAGUUACUAAGCAACUCAAAACAUUGGAGUAGAUACACAUCAUAUACUUAUUCAUUCACUUUCAUACUCAUUAUCACUCCUUGUUUUAAUAUUUUUCUUAGAGGUAAUAACAAGAAAGAACAACACACUUAUCUCUUAUGCAUAACUACACAAUUCACAUGACUGUGCUGGAAAAGUGUACUUCAAUAAUUCAAAAGAAAAUAGUCAUGCUUAAUCCAACUUUAUAAGAUAUCAUCCGCUCUAAGCCAAGAAAUAUCAUGGUUACAUCAUGAAGCACCUAAAAAUAUCAAAGUUGGUCUUAAAUGCAUAUCACUUUCACCCUCUGUUUUCAUGGUUCUAGUGUGCAGUGUCUUUCAUAGUCAAAGCAUGCAAUGUCUCCCCCAAACUUAAAUAUCACAUUGUCCUUAAUGGAAAAAUAAAGAAUAGAAAGGCUUACGAAUACUUCCUUUUGACUAUGUGGGUGUAAGUUUGUUGUUGCUCCUGGUUAUUUGCUUGUAUGAUCAAUUCCUGCACAAAUCAAUGAAACAAAUAAGGGUUUUUUUUUAAAAAAAAUUUCUUUUUCAUUUUUUUUCUUUUUUGGGUUGCCUCCCAAUCAGCGCUUAGUUAUAGUCAUUAGCUUUACUUUUCCAUUUAUCUAAGAUGAAGUGAGAGGGAUAUCAUCCCUUUUCCCAAUAGACUCUCCAUUCCUAUAAUGCUUCAGACGCUGCCCAUUCACUGUGAAUGUUCCCUUUUCAUCAUGGGUGACCUCUACUGCUCCAUAAGGAAAUACCUUCACAACCGUAAAUGGUCCUGACCAUCGUGAUUUGAGCUUACCAGGAAACAAGCGGAGCCGUGAAUUGAAGAGUAAUACUUGUUGACCAGGGACAAACUCCUUGCGUACAAUGUGUUUGUCAUGCCAUGCCUUGGUUCUUUCCUUGUAUAUCUUGGCAUUUUCAUAGGACUCAUUGCGAAAUUCAUCCAUCUCAUUAAGUUGCAGGAUUCUUUUCUCACCUGCAACCUGCAAAUCCAUGUUCAGUUGUUUCAUUGCCCAGUAUGCCUUAUGCUCUAAUUCAACAGGAAUAUGACAUGCUUUUCCAAAAACUAAUCGAUACGGAGACAUUCCCAAUGGUGUUUUGAAUGCUGUCCGAUAUGCCCACAAUGCAUCAUCUAGCUUUCUUGCCCAAUCUUUCCGAGAAUUACUUACUGUUUUCUCUAAGAUUUGCUUCACCUCUCUAUUUGAUACCUCUGUUUGGCCAUUUGUCUGAGGAUGAUAAGCCAAUGCUCUUUUGUGUCUGACUCCAUACUUAGAUAACAGUGCUUCAAACUGCUUGUUGCAAAAAUGAGUUCCUUCAUCACUGAUGAUGGCUCGAGGAGUACCAAAUCUGGUAAAGAUGUUCUUUCGUAGAAAAUUAAGUACCACCUUGCCAUCAUUUGUAGGCGUUGCAAUUGCCUCGAUCCACUUUGAUACAUAAUCCACUGCUAAGAGAAUGUAUUUGUUGUUAUAGGAUGAAGGAAAAGGUCCCAUGAAAUCGAUGCCCCAAACAUCAAAUAAUUCAACUUCUAGGAUAUUCUGCAGUGGCAUUUCAUUUCGUCGAGAUAUAUUCCCAGUAUGCUGACAUCUAUCACAAGCAGUAACAAAAGCAUGAGCAUCUUUAAACAUAGUGGGCCAAUAAAAACCUGACUGCAAAACUUUGGCUGUAGUGCGUUGUGUUCCAAAGUGCCCCCCAUAUUCAAGUGUGUGGCAAUGCUUCAAUAUAUUUGUCAUUUCCUCUUCUGGAACACACCUCCUGAUGACUUGAUCUGCACAAUGCCGAUAGAGUAUCGGCUCCUCCCAGAAGUAGUGUUUGACUUCAGAAAAAAAUUUCUUCUUUUGCUGGUAAGAAAAAUCUGGCGGUAUGAUCUUACCUGCAAGAAAGUUGACAUAAUCUGCAUACCAAGGAAAGAAUUUGUUAGUGGAAAUUGCUAAGAGUCUUUCAUCAGGAAAACAUUCAUUUAUAACCGUGAAUUUAGGCUCCAGCUGCUGUGUCAAUUCCAGCCUUGAAAGAUGAUCUGCCACCACGUUCUCAGUCCCCUUUUUAUCUUUAAUUUCUACAUCAAAUUCUUGCAGUAAUAGGAUCCAACGGAUGAGUCUAGGCUUGGCAUCUUUCUUAGACACUAGGUGUCUAAUUGCAGCAUGAUCAGUAUACACCAGUACUUUGUUUCCCAUCAGGUAAGGCCGAAACUUAUCAAAUGCAUAGACCACAACAAGCAACUCUUUCUCGGUUGUGGCAUAAUUGAGCUGGGCAUCGUUGAGUGUUCUGCUGGCAUAGUAUAUGGUGUGAAACACAUUAUUUUUCCGUUGCCCCAGUACUGCUCCAACUGCAUAAUCACUUGCAUCACACAUAAGCUCAAAUGGUUUCUCCCAAUCCGGUGCAAUUACAAUAGGAGCUGUCACUAACUUCUUUUUCAACAGCAUAAAGGUUGUCUUGCAUUCCUCAUCAAACUGAAACUUUGUGUCUUUUAGCAGCAGACUGCAUAGCGGUUUGGAUAUUUUAGAGAAGUCUUUGAUGAACCUCCUAUAAAAUCCCGCAUGACCAAGGAAACUCCUAACCCCUUUUACUGUAGUUGGCGGCAGAAGCUUGUCUAUUGCCUCAAUUUUAGCUCUGUCUACCUCUAUUCCUUUUUCUGAAAUCCGGUGCCCCAAUACUAUACCUUCCUUUACCAUGAAGUGACAUUUUUCCCAGUUCAAUAUCAAGUUUGUCUUUUCACAACGCUCCAAAACCAACGCCAACUUUGCAAGGCAGUCAUCAAAAGAAGUUCCAAAUACAGAAAAGUCAUCCAUGAAGAUCUCAAUGAUUUGCUCCACCAUAUCUGAAAAAAUAGCCAUCAUGCACCUCUGAAAGGUAGCUGGUGCAUUACACAACCCAAAAGGCAUUCUUCUGAAAGCAAAAGUACCAUAAGGGCAGGUGAAAGUGGUCUUCUCUGGUCCUCAGGUGCGAUGGCUAUUUGGUUGUAUCCUGAAUAGCCAUCUAGGAAACAGUAGUAUUCAUGCCCAGCUAACCUGUCCAGCAUCUGAUCAAUGAAUGGUAGGGGGAAGUGAUCUUUGCGAGUUGCCUUGUUGAGCUUUCGAUAAUCCAUGCAAAUCCUCCAUCCAGUUACCGGUCUAGUAGGUAUCAAGUUGUUGUUUGCAUCCUUUACCACUGUCAUUCCUCCUUUCUUUGGCACAACUUGAACUGGGCUCACCCAUGAGCUGUCAGAGAUUGGAUAAAUAACACCAGCAUCUAACCAUUUCAGAACUUCUUUUCGGACUACCUCUUUCAUGGUCGGGUUAAGCCUUCUCUGAUGUUCUACUGUUGGCUUGACUUCAUCUUCCAACAGAAUUUUAUGCAUGCAAAUAGAGGGACUGAUGCCUUUGAUAUCUGCUAAUACCCACCCGAGAGCUGCCUUAUGUUUUCUCAACACCCUCAACAAUUUUUCUUCCUCUGUUUUGGUCAGCUUUGCAGAGAUUAUCACAGGAUAGGUGGAAGCUUCUCCAAGAUAUGCAUACCGAAGGUGUUCUGGCAGAGGUUGCAAUUCCAGAACCGGUGCUUGUUCACUGGUUGAUUUUAUUUUUGGUGCUGGUUGUCCCAAAUCUUCAAAGUAUCUUUUGUGGUUAGGUUCAAAAGAGUCCAUCCAACAUGAAUAUUCUGCUAUUUCAGCAUCCUCUUCCAGUACAUUAUUUACCAAACAUGCUUCCAACGGGUCGGUUGGAAGCUUAACUUUGUUGUUAAUUAAGGAGUCCACCACUUGAAUGCUGAAGCAACUCUCCCCUAUAUCUGGUUGUUUGAUGGCUUUGAACACAUUGAAAAUCACCUCCUCUUCAUUCACCCUUAACCGCAGCUCCCCUUUCUUCACAUCAAUUAACGCACCUCUAGUGGCCAAGAAUGGCCGGCCAAGCAAGAUAGGAAUCUCAUUAUCCUUCUCCAUAUCCAGUAUGAUAAAGUAUGCUAGAAAGAUGAACUUGCCCACUUUCACCAGUACAUCUUCAAUUAUUCCCCUUGGAUGCUUCAAUGACCUGUCAGCUAGCUGUAGUGUUACUGUGGUUGGCCUUGUUUCACCUAAACCAAGCUUCUUAAAAAUAGAUAAAGGCAUGAGAUUAAUACUUGCACCUAAAUCACAUAAAGCUUUUUCAAAUAUAGAAUUUCCAAUGGAACAUGGUAUAGUAAAACUCCCUGGAUCCUUAAGUUUAGGAGGCAGUUUCUUCUGCAAAAUAGCACUGCAUUCCUCAGUAAGAGCGACAGUCUCAUAUUCCUCUAGCUUUCUUUUGUUUGAGAGGAUGUCCUUCAGAAAUUUCACAUAGCUUGGCAUUUGUUCAAGAGCAUCUGCAAAAGGAAUGUUAAUCUGCAAUUUUUUAAACACAUCAAGAAAUUUAGAAAAUUGCUUAUCAAGUUUAUUCUUCUUGAGACGUUGUGGAAAUGGAAUUCUAUGCAUUAUUUCUUGCAUUGGUUCUGGCAGAGGAUCAGAUUUUUUCAUAUUCUGAAUUGGUUCGGCCAUUUGCUCCUCUACUUCUUUUUUUGCACUCUUGUUUCCAGCAGUCUGCUCCACUUCUUUUCCACUUCUUAAAGUUAUGGCCUUGCAUUGCUCCUUAGGAUUAAUUUCAGUUGUGCUUGGUAGAUUUCCUUGUUGUCUACCCGUGAGCAUGUUGGCUAACUGACCAACCUGAACCUCCAAAUUUCGAAUUGAGGCUGCUUGGUUCUGCAGAUUGGUAUUUGUUUCAGUCAUGAAUCUGCUGGUGUUGUUUGCUAAUUGUGUCAUAGCUUCUUCAAGUUUUGAUUUCUCUUUCAUGUGCUCACUUGAAGAUGGCAUGGCUGGAUUCUUCAUGACAGUUUGAUUGUUCCACGAGAAAUUAGGAUGAUUUCUCCAACCGGGAUUAUAUGUUGCACUGUAGGGGUUGUUCUGCCGGCUGUAUUUGACACAAAAUGAGCAUGCUCUGCUUGAGAGAAUGGGUUCCCAACCUGACACUCUUCACUGUGUGAUUUCCAUGCAAAAAUCACACGUUGUAUGGAUGGCAUUUGCUGACAGUUGAGUGGUUUUCAGUUGCUGAGUUAGUGAAUGGACUUGAGCUGUUAAUGUCGUGAUUGCAUCAAUUUCGUGCACCCCAACAGUCUUUUCUGUAUGCUUCUUUCAUUUGGCCAUUGGUAAUUGUUCAUAGCCAUUUCUUCCAAUAAGUUGUAAGCAUCAUCCUGUGACUUACUCAUAAAAGCUCCUCCUGAAGCUGCAUCAAUUAGUGUUCUUGUGGAGGCAUUCAAUCCAUUGUAAAAAUUUGCACCUGCAUCCACUUCGGUAGUCCAUGGUGGGGGCAUCGCCUGAGCAAAUCCUUGUAUCUCUCCCAUGCCUCAUACAAUGGUUCACUCUCAAGUUGGGCGAAGUUAGCUAUCUCAAUGCAUUUUUGCUGUCUUGGCUGGUGGAAAAAAUUUAGCAAGGAAUUUCUGAGCUAAAUCUUCCCAGCUGAUAACUGAAUCUGCAGGCAUGGAGUUUAACCAGUUCUUCGCUCUAUCUCGCAAGAAAAUGGAAACAAUCUGAGGCGAAUGGCAUCAUCAGUAACGCCAUUAUGCUUAAAUGUGUCGCAAAUUUCCAAGAAACUUGCAAUAUGGGCGUUAGGAUCAUCACUUGGCAACCCAUAAAACUGAACUGAGGUCUGAAUCAUCUGCAGUAUUGCUGGUUUGAUCUCAAAAUUAUUGGCCUCAAUCCUUGGUUUCCUGAUAACAGAACGGAUUCCUGUCACCUGUGGGAGAGCAAAAUCUCUCAAUGCCCGUGUAUCUUGCUCAGGAUUUUCAUUGUCUGCCAUGAUGCUGAACUGUUUGAGUCUCUCGUGUUUUCUUUCUUAAUCCCCUUGCAGUUCUCUCAAUCUCAGGAUUAUAAGGUAGCAACGGCUGUUUUUGUUGCUUCUCAUGCACUAGACACACACCUAAAGAGCUGAAGACAAAAGGCAAUCAAAUUAGAUCAAAUUUAAUUUAUAUUGAUAUUAUUAGUAAUUUUAUCUAAAAUCCCCGGCAACGGCGCCAAAAACUUGUUGGUUAAUUUGCAAGUGCACAAAUCGUAACAAGUAAUAAAGUGAUGAGUAGAGUAUCGUCCCACGAGGAUUUGUAAAAAUUACUACUAAUUACCAAAGUCUUUUAAAUUAUGAUCUAUUUGAGGAAUCGAAUAAGAUAGUUUAUGAAACAAAAAUUAAUGAUUAAAACAAACAACCAAUUGAUUAAAUAUUAAUGAAUUCAAUUGUACUGGUUCUAGGAUUUCUGACUUACCGUAACUAUGCCUAUGUGAACUUUCUCGAUUAAAUUAAUUACUCCUAAUGUUGAUAAUCAGGUUUUCUUAUGUAAAUAUUAAUCUCUCUCGAGCAUCAAUAAAUUAUUUCGACAAACAAAUUUCAUAUACUCUACGAAAGUUCUGAACUUGUCGAAAUUUAUUAAGUACUGUAAAACCUGUAACGAUUACAAAAGUUCUUAGGAUAUCUCUAUCCUAUAGAUUUCUUAACGGUAUUUCAAACAAUAGCUAAAACAAUUAUCACUUCUCAGUUUCAAAUUGAAUUCUAAAUCAUGCAGAUGUUGGCCAAACACACGCAAGCAUUACACAUAGAAUGAAAUACUCAACAUCUUAAUGUAAUAAUUCAAUCGAAGAAAUUGUUCACAUAAUCAUAGUAAGGUUACAUCAAAAAUCCCAGAAUAAAAGUCUACUCCAUAGUUAAAUUAAAGAGAAACAAACUUGAUACGAUGAACAUCACUCAAAAGCAGAGAAUUUCCGUCGAAAAGAUAGGUGUCCUCCGGUUUUUCAAUAGUUUUGCCUCUGCCCCUCUUUUGUUCCCUUGGUGCCGCCUCUCCUCUUUUUCUUUUCUAUGUUGUAGGGUUUCUGUUCGUCCUCUCUCCCCUUUUUCUUCUUUUAUAUUGUGGCUUUUCUACCCCUGCAGUAAUGAGGAAAGUUUCCUUUCUGCAUUAAAUUCCUUCCUACUCAGACAUUGCGGGCCCGAUUUGAGGUAGAAAACGUGCGAAUUAAAGAUCUCUAUUUCUGGAGAAAUUGUAGAGAAUCAAAUUUUCUUUCCAACAAAACUGAUCUUGCAAUUUUUGGACGUCUGAGUUGAGAUAAGGGCCAUAAACCGAACAGUCUUUGCAGUGCAGGAAUUUCGGGCUGGUUCAAUCCUUGUUUUUCAACUCGCUUUUUGGGCUUCGAAACAACAAAACUGAGUUAUAUGCCCUUCAUAUGUUUUGUAGACCUUCAUCUCAGCUAUUUGAAAAUGGUUACGAACAUCCGAAACUAAAUUGUAUAGUUUCUUUGCAGCACAUAAUGAAUCACUGUUCAGUUUCACUGCCCGGCUCUGCCUGUUCAGUAACCUAAGAUCUGAAAACACAUUAAUUUCCCACGAGGUCAAUAGUUCAAAAAGAGAUUCAAAAUUCUAAUUGUCUUGUGCAACACAUCCAAAAUAUUUAAAAAUCAAGCAUGAAUAGCAUAAAUUAUACAUGCUAAAAAUUCCCUUAUCAUUUUUUAUUCCACAAAAUCAAAUCAAUUGUUCAGAACACAAUAAGUAUGAAGAAAAAGCAAAGUAGUUUACACAGCAAGUUGAAGGAUUUGACUAGUGACACUGAUUGUGGAUCCAAAGUUCAAAAUAAAACAAAUCCCGAUCCAGAGUUCGAGUAAACAGAUCACCAAGUUAAUAUGUCAAUCAAUGGCAGAUCCAAUGUAUGCGUGCGUCGUAGCAUUCCGAAGGAUUCAAAUUGUAAAUGAAGGCCUACAAUUUGUAUAUUUUUCAAUAGGUAACCAAACACUAGUAUGAAUGCGUUAAGAGAGUUGUUAGAAAAUCAAAUGCUCGAACAAAUGACUUUCCAAGUCUAUGAAGAAAAAAGCAAAGUAACUUACAGAAAAAGUUGGAGAAACACCCCGUUCCACAAGCUUGAAGAAAAACAUUAACAGACUAAUGAAAAUAAUUAUGGGGCCCAAGAUCAAAUCAAUUGCUCAAACAAUAAUCAUAAUUUAUUUUAAUUUUGUUAAAUUUUUAUGUUAAAAAAUUUAUGUUGAAAAAUAAUUUUUAAUAUUAAAAAUAAACGGGGUUUGUUUUUUAUUUAACUUUAAAUAUAUCAAUUAAUCAUGUUUUAGAUAAUGUUUUCAUCAAAUAAUUCAAUAUUACAAGAUUAAGCUUAGUUAAUCAUGUAAGAAACCCAUGCAUGCUUCCAAUCUAUAUAUAUAUAUAUAUAUAUAUAUAUUAUAGGAUGAUGUUACAAGUACUGAGGGAGUAUUGUUACAGCUGUUAUGGUCGCUGUUAGUGUAGAUUAAUUAUGGUAGCUGGCAGAUGCAUGGACACGUGUUAGAAAUCAUUUCACUCCGUUAACAAAAAUUAAGGAAGUGUUAGUGCAGAUUACUUAGGGUAGGCGAUAUUGAUAUUUCAAAAGAGAUAUUCUAAAUAUUUCACAAGAAAUAAAAGAGUAUAACUAAAAUUAGAUAAUGAAAUGAAUUAAAAAAAUGAAAGAAAUUUACCUCAUAAAACAAAAAAAGAGAAAUUUACAUGGGAGUGAGAGAGGUAUGCAAUAACAUAUCAAAAUGAAAAGAAGCUUUAUGUUAAUUAAUGAAAGACAAAAAAGAAUUUUUUUUUGAGUAAAUGAGCUGUACGUAUGUAUUAUAUAUUAUAUUAAAAUAUAAUUUAACAAUAACUUUUCACUUUUUUCACUUUUUCGUGUAUCAAACUCUCAUUAACCUAUUAUAUUAAUAUUAUAAUAUUAAAAAUAUAUUUUCAAAAACUUUAAGGGGCAAUUGCUCCUUUUGUACUUACGUGGCUCCACCACUGAGUGCGGAUUAUUUAGGGUAGGCGAUAUUGAUAUUUCAAAAGAGAUAUUCUAAAUAUUUCACAAGAAAUAAAAAUGAGUAGGUGCAGUAAGAAGAAAUUAUUGAUAAUACAAAUCAUUUUCUAAUCUCUUCUGCCAUGUAUUUCAUAAGAUCAAAUCAAUUGUUCAUAUACAGCACCUGACUUCCCAAGUCUAUGAAGAAAAGCAAAGCAGUAAACAAGAAGUUGAAAUUGAUAUCCUUUAAUCCAACACCACAAACCGAGCGAUCUGUGCCGUGAAGACUCUCACAUUCAAUGAAGCCCAAGUCUCCCUUGGAUAAUUCAGCACAGAAAAUUCAAUGAUACAGAUAAUUGUCACUGUCCGAUCAAAUGCAUGAAGAGGACAAAAUUGUCUAUAAGAGACAGCUUGCUUGCUUUUGUAUUUUGUCAAGUAGGAGCGUUAAUAUGAAGAUGAGGCAAAUGUGGAUGUGGAUGCUGCUCAUGGCACUGGCCUUCGUCAACGAGCGGUGCCAUUGUUGUCUAGAGGAAGAGAGAAUUAGUCUCUUAGAGAUAAAAGCUGGGUUCAGUCAUGCACGUGCAGCUGUGUCCUAUGAUCCGCUAGAAGGUUGGGAUAAAGAGCAUUUUAAUUGCUGUAACUGGCAUAGGGUUGUGUGUGACAACACCACAAACCGAGUGAUCGAACUACAUCUUUAUAGCGUAAAUUAUGUAGUUUCUCGACUCAAUGCAUUCGAAGACUUCGAUCUCAAUGCGUCUUUGUUUCUGCCUUUCAAAGAACUGGAGAUUCUCGACUUAGGCUUCAACCAAUUAGUUGGUGGCUUAAAGAACCAAGGUUCUAUGCUUUCAGUUUUUUCUUUUAGUUAACACAUAAAGUUAAUUAUAUUUCAAGUAACUUUACAUUGAAUCUUUAUGGAUAUAGGGAUGAUUCAUAUAUAUAUAUAUAUAUAUAUAUAUAUAUAUAUAUAUAUAUAUAUAUGUCUGUCAUGUUAAUUUCUUUGCUCUAACAAUCUUCUUUCAGGUUUUCAAGUGCUUGCUUCAGGGUUGAGGAAUUUGAAGAAACUUGAUCUGACAGGCAAUAGAUUUAACGAUAGCAUUUUAUCAUCUCUCAGUGGAUUUUCAACUCUCAAAUCUCUAGAUCUAUCAAGCAAUAGGUUCACAGGAUCAAUUGGUCUCAAUGGUAAAGUUGUAAAUCAUUCCUACCUCAGAUGACAUUACCUAGUAAGGUUUAAUAAUUACAUGUGUAUUAACUCUUAAGUUGUUUGGAUGAAACCUUAAAAAGGCUUUAUAUAAUUAAUUCUUUAACGAGUGAAAUAAUUUGAAACUUACAUAUACACGCUAUUAACUUUUGUUCAAUUUUUUUUUUAAUUUUUUUUAAUAAAUGAAGGUGAAUAAUUAAUUAAUUAAAUUUUAAUAUUAUAUUAAAAUUAUUUGAAUUUAAAAACUUAAGCUAUGUCUUGUAUAUUAACUCUAACAUUAUAAGUUUAUUUAAUUAUUGUAAAUCAUUAUUAUUGAUUGUUCUCUCUAUCACAGGUUUAAGGAAUUAUUUGAAUUUAAAAACUUAAGCUAUGUCUUGUAUAUUAACUCUAACAUUAUAAGUUUAUUUAAUUAUUGUAAAUCAUUAUUAUUGAUUGUUCUCUCUAUCACAGGUUUAAGGAAUUUAGAAAUCUUGAAUCUGGUAAACACUGACUUCAAGGAAAGCAUUUUGAUAGAGUCAUUGGGAGCGUUGCCAUCCCUCAAGACCUUAUAUGCCGGUGAUAGUAAUUUUAAACACUUUGGGAAAGGUUAGUGACAGUUUAAUUUGGUGCCUAAAACAAUAUGAUAUUUAUAAUUUAUUGAUGGAUUUAUCUGAUCUGUACCACAGGGUUGUGGAAUUCGUCUAGCCUUGAAAAAGUGUUCCUCAAUUAUUCUUCUCUCCCAGCAAACUUUUUUAGGAACAUUGGACCCUUGUCUACUCUUAAAGUACUAUCUUUGACCGGAGUUGACUUCAAUAGCACCCUAUUUGAUCAAGGUAAUUCUACAAAUGAACAAUUAUAAGAGUAUUGAAAUCCAAAUAACAGUUGUUCACUAGAAGUUUAUAGAAAAGUAUAAAAUCUAGAGUUUCUCAAUCUCUAAAUUUUCUCAGUUUUAAAUUUAGGGUAGUUGGCAGAUGCAUGAACACGUGUUAGAAGUUGUUAAGAGAUGGUUAGAGUUAGUUAACAAUAUAAUAAAUCGUGUAAUAUAUGUGGGGAAGUAUAUAUAUAAUGGUAGGAGGUUUACGCACGCAAGAAAUAAUAGAAUCAUUCCUCUGUUUUUCCUUCUGCUUAACAGAUGAUUAUAUUACAAUACACAAAAUGGAUACUUCCACUUUAUAUGUGAUACGUUAGAAUUCAUGAAUAUUUGGUUAUUAAAAUAUUAAUAUAAUGUCAAAAAAUUAACACACAAUUUAUAUAUUGAUAUAUGUGAUACUUCUUAAUUUCUUUGCUUUCGACAAAUUUCUUUCAGGUUUUCAAGUGCUAGCUUCAAGGUUGAGGAAUUUGGAGGAACUUGAUCUAAGUUACAAUCAAUUUAACGACAGUAUUUUAUCAUCUCUCAGUGUAUUUUCAACUCUCAAAUCUCUAGAUCUAUCAAGCAAUAGGUUCACAGGAUCAACUGGUCUUAAUGGUAAAGUUGUAAUCAUUCCUCCCUCGGAUGGCAUUCCUUAGUGAGGCUUAAUUUAUUCUUUAGUGAAUUUGUCUAAUAAAUAGAUGUGUAUUAACCAUUAACUUUUGUUCAAUUUUUAAAAUUUUAUUAAAGGAUCAACUAGUUAGAAUUUAUAUGUGAUAUGUUAGAAUUCAUGAAUAUUUGGUUAUUAAAAUAUUGAUAUAAUGUCAAAAAAUUAACACACAAUUUAUAUAUUGAUAUAUGUGAUACUUCUUAAUUUCUUUGCUUUCGAUAAAUUUCUUUCAGGUUUUCAAGUGCUAGCUUCAGGGUUGAGGAAUUUGGAGGAACUUGAUCUAAGUUACAAUCAAUUUAACGAUAGUAUUUUAUCAUCUCUCAGUGUAUUUUCAACUCUCAAAUCUCUAGAUCUAUCAGGCAAUAGGUUCACAGGAUCAACUGGUCUUAAUGGUAAAGUUGUAAAUCAUUCCUCCCUCGGAUGACAUUCCUUAGUGAGACUUAAUUUAUUCUUUAGUGAAUUUGUCUAAUAAAUAGAUGUGUAUUAACCAUUAACUUUUGUUCAAUUUUUAAAAUUUUAUUAAAGGAUCAACUAGUUAGAAUUUAUAUGUGAUAUGUUAGAAUUCAUGAAUAUUUGGUUAUUAAAAUAUUGAUAUAAUAUCAAAAAAUUAACACAUAAAUUUAUAUUUCAUUGAAUAUAUAUAUGUUAAUUUCUUUGCUUCCAACAAUUUUCUUUCAGGUUUUCAAGUGCUAGCUUCAGGGUUGAGGAAUUUGGAGAAACUUGGUCUGAAUUAUAAUAAAGAUUUGAACGACGGAAUUUUUUCAUCUCUCAGUGGUUUUUCAUCUCUCAAAUCUCUAGAUCUAUCAGGCAAUAGGUUCACAGGAUCAACUGGUCUCAAUGGUAAAGUUGUAAAUCAUUCCUACCUCAGAUGACAUUCCCUAGUAAGAUUUAAUAAUUACAUGUGUAUUAACCCUUAAGUUGUUUGGAUGAAACCUUAAAAAGGCUUUAUAUAAUUAAUUUUUUAACGAGUGAAAUAAUUUGAAACUUACAUAUACACGCUAUUAACUUUUUUUCAAUUUUUUAAUUUUUUUUUUAAGUAAAUGAAGGUGAACAUUUAAUUAAUAAAAUUUUAAUAUUAUAUUAAAAAUUAUUUUAAUUUAAAAAAUUAAGCUAUGUCUUGUAUAUUAACUCUAACAUUAUAAAUUAUUUAAUUAUUGUAAAUCAUUAUUAUUGAUUGUUCUCUCUAUCACAGGUUUAAGGAAUUUAGAAAUCUUGAAUCUGGCAUACACUGACUUCAACGAAAGCAUUUUGUUGGGAGCGUUGCCAUCCCUCAAGACCUUAUAUGCCAGUGGUAGUAAAUUUAAACACUUUGGGAAAGGUCAGUGAUAGUUUAAUUUGGUGCCUAAAACAAUAUGAUAUUUAUAAUAUAUUGAUGGAUUUAUUUGAUCUAUGCCACAGGGUUGUGGAAUUCGACUAGCCUUGAAGAAGUGUUACUCGAUGAUUCUUCUCUCCCAUCAAGCUUUCUUCAAAACAUUGGACCCUUGUCUACUCUUACAGUCUUAUCAUUGAUCGGAGUUGACUUUAAUAGCACCCUACCUGCGGAAGGUAAUUCAUUAGAUAUUUUUGUUAUAUCUAUGUUUUAUUAAACUAGAAAUUUACUUCUAAUGUUACGUAUAAAAAAGGACAAAAUCUAGAGUUUCUCAAUCUCUAAAAUUUCUCAGUCUUAAAUUUAGAGUAGCUGGCAGAUGCAUGGACACGUGUUAGAAGUUGUUAAGAGUCGGGUAGAGUUAGUUAACAAUAUAAUAAAUCAUGUAAUGCAUGUGAGGAAGAGUGUAUAUAAUGGUAGGAGGAUUAAGCACGCAAGAAAUAACAGAAUCAUUCCUCUGUUUUCCUUCUGCUUAAUAGAUGAUUAUAUUACAAUACACAAAAUAGAUACUUCCACUCUAUCCUUCUUGACCAAAAAUGCAUAAAAACCAUCCCUCAAGACACAAAAUGGAUACUAAUUUAAGUCAAUAUUGAAAGGAAUGGAUAAUGUGUACCACCACUAUUUUCAUCGUACCUUUUCUUCUUUCUUUUUCACAUGGACUUUCUUCAAUUCGAGAUAUUAUUGAUAUAUUACAUAAUUGAUAUAUUACAUAUGGAUAUAUUCUACAGGCUGGUGUGAGCUGAAGAAUCUUGAACAACUAUUUCUCUUACAAAACAAUCUAAAGGGCGUACUCCCUCCUUGUUUUGGAAAUCUAUCAUUUCUACAAUUCUUGGAUUUAUCUGACAAUCAAUUGGAGGGAAAUAUUGCCUCUAGUCACCUUUCCCAUCUUACGCAACUUGAAUACUUCUCAGUUUCAAAUAACUACUUUCAAGUUCCAAUAACAUUUGGUUCAUUUAUGAACCUCUCCAACCUCAAGUUCAUUGCAUGCGAUAACAAUGAGCUAAUACCUGUACCCAGUUUUCAGCCUUCAGCUCCCAAGUUCCAGCUUCUUUACUUCAGUGCUUCAAACUGUACUUCAAAACCACUCAAGGCUGGAUUUCCAAACUUCCUGCAUAGCCAACAUGAUUUGGUGUUUGUUGAUCUAUCCCACAACAAAUUCGUUGGAGAACCUUUCCCAUCUUGGCUGUUUGAGAAUAAUAGAAAGUUAAAUCGACUAUAUUUGAGAGACACCUCAUCUAUAGGUCCUUUGCAGCUGCCACAACAUCCAACACCCAACCUUCAGACAGUAGAUAUGUCUGGCAACAACAUACAUGGUCAAGUUGCAAGGAACAUAUGUUUGAUUUUUCCACGUUUGAAGAACUUCAUGAUGGCUAACAACAGCCUCACAGGUUGCAUUCCUCCUUGUUUUGGGAAUAUGAGCUCUCUCAAAUACUUGGAUCUUUCCAACAAUCAGAUGUCUUGUGAACUGCUUGAGCAUAAUUUUCCAACAGUAGGCUCCUCGUUGUCGUUUUUGAAGCUGUCCAACAACAACUUCAGUGGGCGAUUACCACCAUCUGUGUUCAACAUGACUCACCUAGACUACCUCUUUCUCGAUGGAAACAAAUUUGUAGGACAAGUAUCAGGUACUUUGUCUCUUGAAUCAUCACUUUUCUGGUUGGAUAUCAGUAACAAUCUUUUGUCAGGCAUGCUUCCAAGGGGAAUUGGAAACUCUUCAAUAAACCAAUUUGCUCAAGCAAUUGAUUUGUCCAGAAAUCAGUUUGAAGGUACCAUUCCAAUAGAAUAUUUCAAUUCUUAUGGGAUUGAAUUUUUAGAUCUUUCUGAAAACAAUCUGUCUGGGACAUUACCGUUGGGCUUCAAUGCACCAUAUUUACGCUAUGUCCACCUUUAUAGAAAUCAAUUGAGCGGUCCACUGCCAAAAGCUUUUUAUAAUAGCUCUCAUUUGGUGACAUUAGAUCUCGGCGAUAACAACUUAACUGGGCCCAUUCCAAAUUGGAUUGAUAGCCUUUCAGAAUUGAGCAUUUUUGUUCUCAAAUCUAAUCAAUUCAAUGGGAUACUUCCUCAUCAGUUAUGCUUGUUAAGGAAAUUAAGCAUAUUGGAUCUUUCACAAAAUAACUUUUCUGGUCCGUUACCCUCAUGUUUGAGCAAUUUAAAUUUUACAGCAUCAGAUGAAAAAACUUUGGUUGUCACUGAUACGGAGUCAGAAAAUGAUGGAAGCCGGAAAGAAAUAUUUGCAUCCAUAGGGGGAAGAGACUUGAAGAACAAAGGUUUUUAUCUUAAUGACAAAGUUUUGUUGCCAGAGAUCAGUGUAAAUAUAUCUGUAGAGCUUACAGCAAAGAAAAAUUUCUACACUUACGAAGGUGAUAUCCUUCGUUACAUGUCUGCUGUGGAUCUCUCUUGUAACAGAUUCACUGGAGAAAUCCCGACAGAAUGGCGAAAAUUAAGUGGGAUAUUUGCUCUAAAUCUGUCACAAAAUAAUCUCACUGGAUUGAUCCCUCCAUCUUUCUCCAAUCUGAAGCAGAUAGAGAGCUUGGAUCUUUCUCACAACAACUUGAAUGGGAGAAUUCCAGAACAACUCGUUGAACUGAAAUUUCUAGAAGUUUUCAACGUGUCGUACAAUAAUUUGUCAGGAAGAACACCGGAGAUGAAAUAUCAAUUUUCUACCUUUGAUGAUAGCAGUUAUAAAGGGAAUCCUCUUCUUUGUGGACCUCCAUUGCAAAACAGUUGCGACAAAACAGAAUCACCAUCAGCGAGAGUGCCUAACGAUUUCAAUGGAGAUAGUGGCUUUAUAGACAUGGACAGUUUCUAUGCCAGCUUUGGUGUGUUUUACAUAAUUGUGGUGUUGACAAUUGUAGCAGUACUGUGCGUAAAUCCGCAUUGGCGACGCAGGUGGUUUUACUUCAUUGAAGAAUGCAUCGACACUUGCUACUGCUUUUUGGCUAUAAACUUUCGCAAGUUGUCCAGAUUCAAAGGUGAUUGGGUCUUAUCAUGAGCGUGUGGGCUGCUUUC
RNAcentral lists this long non-coding RNA (50814 nucleotides) under Populus tremula. RNAcentral describes it as "long non-coding RNA (PTRE_LNC002439)". The stretch from base 40272 to 40375 matches the Rfam family "Plant small nucleolar RNA R71". Lineage: Eukaryota; Viridiplantae; Streptophyta; Magnoliopsida; Malpighiales; Salicaceae. The record is from RNAcentral.